UUCGAUAUCCAAGAGAUUGUUUUGAUGGUGGCAUCGUUGAUAUUAUGUUGCCCGGAAGUGAAAUUCCAGAAUGGUUUAGCCAACAAAAAAGUGACUCUUCAAUUAAGAUACCCCUACCUAUCAACCUUUGGAAAGAUAGUCAAUGGAUUGGAGUUGCUUGUUGCUGCAUUUUUGUCAAUAAUGAUGCUUCAAGGAAAGAGUUUAUUAGCUGUGAUGGAUCUAUUUUUCGAGGUAGAAAUUGUCGAUCUAUUUGUAAGAGAAACAAGUGGGUAGGUCAACGCUUGGACAAGCCCAUAAUGAAAGAUCACCUUUUUUUUCGUUAUUUUCCGCGUGAUCAAUCAUAUCCAUUUUCCUUGGAGGAUAAAUAUGGUGACUGUGAAACCAAUAAUUUAUGGACAACAGAUUGCUUAGAUCAACUAUGCGAUGAGCUUGAGUUGUCUUUCAAUGACAAAUUUGUACCAAAUUGUGUUAAGGUGAAAAAGUGUGGUCUAAGAAUAGUGCAUGAGAAAGAUUUGGAAGAGAUAAAAGAGUUGCAGUGCCAUACCACUCAAUCUUCUCCAAAUUUUGAACACAUCCACCAACACUCUGCUCACAACCGUGGAUCAGUAGGUAGCACUUCUCACAUGAAACGAAAACGUAAUAUCUAUGAGGAAAUGGAGGAAGAAGAGCCGCAAUCAAAACGGAUGCAAAAUUUUUUCAAUUUUGUAAUGGGCCAAUCAAGAAAGAAGCAUUAACUGUGGUAAACUACUUAACCAACUUUGUCCCAUUAAUUUUUUUUUGCGUAUGUGAUAUUUCCUUCAUACUCAUAUUCAACAUGUACAUAUCUCAAAUGUUUUAUACCAUUUAAAAUUUAACCAAGGAGGACUUCUUAUUCUUUCAGUUAAAUUCUGAUUACUUCAGUGAUAUUCUAGCCAUUUUAGCCCUUCUCUGUGUCUAUUUAAAGGAGUCAUUGUAUCCCUGUUUUGAUACGCAAAUCAGUAAUAGCUCUUCUUUAAGGGUAGCAAGAUGUAGUUAUAUAUGGGGUUUUGGUGAGAGUUUGAGAGGAUUUUAUGAAAUCCCUUUUGUGAGAGCUUUGGGUAUUAACUUUGUAAUCGGGGUUUGGAUUUUAGUGUUCUCAUUGUACUCUUGUUUUGUUUACUCCAUUAAUGUUAAGCCGAAGCCUCUUUUGUCCGUAGUUUUUAUUCUCUUUGGAAGAGUUUUUUAAUGUAAAAUAAUUGUGUUUAUUCUUCUCCACUUUUAUUAUUUCAUUAUUUAUACCGACAAUCCCAAAUAUAUAUUAUGAGUGAGACUUAAAUUUCAUCAAACGUUUAAUAAUUUUAAUAUUAAAAUAUAUAUCCUUUUUAAAAUAAGUGAAUUUAGGUCAAAUUAAAUGAAAAGAGGAACUGAAUUUCUAAUUAGGUGUUAAUGGAAUCUUUUAUUUUAAUUCAAGUGUUUUGUUAGUUCAUAUAUGGCUUACUUAGUUUAUGGGUAUGCAUGGAUUAAAUGAAAAAAAAUAAAUUAAUUAAGUUGAUAAGUAUUAAUUUAUGAAUAAAAAUUAAUUUAAAAUUUUUAAAAAUUAAAUUAAGUGAAAUAAAAUUUCGUAUCUAAUUUAUUAGAGUUAAUUUAGAAAUUUAAUCAAAUUAGGUUAAAAUAUUUUUUAAUUUAUUAUUUAAAAUUUUGUAUAUCCAAAUUAUAAAAAUCAAACUCGAUUCAAAUCCGAAAAAGUCGGAAAACUUUAAUAAUUUCCCUAACUCAAACUAAUUUAGCCACCUAUUAAAACCACUUUAUCAAAGCCACACCGUCGUACCAAAUCAUAAUAAAAAGAAAUUUUUAAAAAAUUACAAAACUAAUCCUUAAAAUUUUAGAUUACCAAAGUCAAAACUUAUCUAAAAUGGGGCAGGUACCAAAGUUGGUGCCUUUAUCAUGCUUUUUCUUCUUCUUCCUCCACAGGAGUUUUUUUAUUAUUUAUUUAUAUAUUUUUUUACACAUUAAAAAUUAAUUAUAUAUAUUGGCAUAUUGUAUAUGUAUGUCAUGUUUACAUUACUUACAUAUUAUAAUAUAUUUUAUAUAGCUUGUCAUAGUUAUUUAAUAUAUUCGUUUUAUUGUUUAUGUUUGAGGCUCGUGAUUAUCCUCCUAAUAAUAUUUGAAUUUGCGUUCAUUCUUUAAAAGUAUAAUGUGACUUACUACUACCCUCAACAUUUAUAUUCAUCUUGAAUUUUACAUAAUUUCUCAUAUUCAUUUAAUAUGUAUAUUUACAUUAUUUUUUUCUUCGGAGUACCAUAAAUUUAAAUAAAAAUUGACAUGGUAAUGAUUCAUUUUAAGUGAGAGUUUAACAUAUUUGUUAUUUGUGUCAUGUAUAUAUAAUCUUGAUGGCAGCAGAACUAUGUGUUUUAAUUAUUUUACAUUAUUUUAUUAUGUAGGUUUUAAAAUAUUGGGAUAAAUCUCAAAAUUAUAUAUUAACUUUGAUUCAAUGUGCAAUUUGAUAAAUGAGCUUUGAUUUGGUGCAAUUAUACACGUGGAACUUUGAUUUUGAUUCAAAUGUAUAUAUGAAACUUUGAUUGUGGUAUAUUAACAUAAAAUGAUACUAUAUUAAUAAUUUGUGAGAAUUGGAUACAAUGAUACAUCAAUUUAUAUUUAUAUUGGAUAAAUAUAAUUGUAUGUGUAUGUAAUAUAUUAACAUAAAAUGAUACCAUAUCAAUAAUUUGUGAGAAUUGGAUACAAAUCAAAAUUUCAUAUAUAAAAUUGCACAUUAGACCAAAGUUCAUGUAUAGUUUUGAGAUUUAUCCCCAAAUUAUUUCAUAUAUUUAUAUUAAAAAAUUCCAUUUAUCCUCUUUCAUAAUAAUUUAAUUUUAAAUCUAAAUUUAUUUACUUAAAAUUAUAUUAUUACGCUAACAUAUAUUACUAUAAUGGAUUACGUGAUGUGACAGGUUGUUACAAAGGAGGUUGCCAUCGUGGAGCACUAGAAGAUCGUGUGUUGUGGGGUCCAUUAUGGUAUUCAUUUAGGCGGUACGGAGUUGUUAUGCACAAAUGAGUCCUAUUGAUUGCUCAAGAGAAUGUUCACACUGAAAAGCGAGUUGCUAGACCAUGGUGAGCAAGUAGCUAAGUAAAAGGGGAAGUGUUUCCCAUAUAAGCAACUGGUCUAUAGUAGGCUAGGAGGUAGAUUGAUUGAGGGCAAUCUAGAUGAGUGGGUAGAUGUAGGACAUUCUCUAUUGUCUAGAUGGAGUCUCCUAGAUGUGUCAUGUGUUAGGCCCGGGUGAUAGGUAUAACAAAAGUUCAUGUACAAGUAUUAGUCUUGCUUUUGCCAAUAGUCUUGUUUUAAUUUGCAAGUAUUUUUAGGGAUAGAUUUAUAGUCUUCCCUUUCAGUUUAGUAAAUACUUAGUUUUCUUGCUGAUUUUGCCCUUACUUUGGACUCUCAGGAUUGGUUUUCUUAUCAUGUUAUUUGCUUAUAGUCACUUUAGAUAUAUCGUGUUUGAGUCGUGACAAAAUCAGUUGUCAACAUACUAUAAUGUUCUAUUCUUAGUAUGUUGAAGUCUUUGUUUGUGUUGAUGGAACUUGUCCAUUAUCAGUGACAAUGAGUGUUUGUUGUAUCUUUAUUUUCUCCGAAUUGUGUGGUCCCAUUCAUGAAAUAAAUGAAUUAAUUUUUCUUUCACUUUUCUUCAUAUGAUAUAAAUUGUAUAAUAUAUAAAAUAAAUGAAAAACAAUAUAUGAUAAACUUAAAAAUUGGUCGAGUUGAGUUGAGCUUGAGCUUUGAAUAUUAAAGCCUAAAUCCAACUCAUAUUUUAAACGAGUCUAAUUUACCCAAACCCAAUUUAAGCAUAAUAUUUUUGUCCAAAUCCUCUUAAAUUUUGAAUGAGCUUUUGGACUUGAACGAUUUACUCUUGAACAAAUCUGAUAUUUUUUAAAUAUUUUAUACAACAUUAUUCGAGUCAUAUUUUGAAUAAAAUCUUUUGUAAUAGAAUGGCUUGCUACUAUGGAUGGUGGAACCAGGGUUUGCUGAAUUUACUACCUCCACACCAUAUCCAUAGAAACUAAUAGCAUUCCAUUAUCCACUGCUUAUAAAGUAAUACCAAUAUAAUAAAAUUUAUGCUAAAAUCAAUUUAAUGUUUUUUUAAAUAGGAUUUGUAGUCGAAUUGGAUAGGUUAUUAGUUUGUUGGUCCAAUGAUUAAAAAUUAUUAAAAUUUAAAAAAGUUAAAAUAGAGUUUCGAUUCAUUUAAUUUUUCAUAGGUUGAAUCGGUUCAUAUCAAUUUUCAAUCUAAUCAAUUCAAAAUCACUCUUCGAACCAAUACUCUGUUGGCUUUUGAUCUAAUCGAUCGAUCAAUCCGAUUCAAACAAGACUGAAUCAAUAGAUAAAAGAUGAGAAUAAUUCUUAACAACAACCUGCAAAUUAUGUGAUUAAUUAUAUCUCAAAUUGAUCCAACAUAAAACAGAUAAAAAGAAAAGGUUUCAACAACUCUUCCAAAACAUAUUAUGUUUUAAUGAUCCCACACCAUGUUAAUGAGUUGUGUACUGCACCUUCCUCGAUGGGCAAGCAUAUUUCCCACAUGGGAUUCCCACAAGGAAUCACAGCUUCUUUACUGCAACAACAUGGAAAAAAAAAACUUGAUGGAAAUAAUUUAAGAUCAAAAUUAAACACCAAUAUAUACACACAUAGAAAAUAAAGAGAAACUUAGAGCUAACAUAUAUAUACACACAGACAUACACAUACAUACAUUCGGUAUUUCCAGCGUUUUGUCCAGUUCUUCUUCUCUUCUACUUCUUGCAUGUAAAAGUAAAAUUCCCAUGCCGAUCACCGGUCCCUGUACAACAAAACUUUAAAAGCAAUGAACUAUAUACAUAUACGUUAGUUUUUUGAUUGGAAAUGAGACCCUUUCAUUUCUCUUUUCACACACUCGCAUUGAACAACAAUGGAGGGGAAAUAGAGUAAGAAUUAGCUCAUUGAUCCUUGUUUUAGCUUAUUUUAAGAUGGAUGAUUGAAAUUUGAUUAUGAUAAGAAUAUAAAAACAAAUUUGAGGUUUUCUUUUAUGUUUUUUUUUAUUGCUUUUUAAGUAUUGUUUUCAACAGCCCAUAUAUAAGUUGAAAGUGAUCAACUUUAAAGGGUCCCAAAACCUGAUCAAUACCCCAGACUUUAUAAUUGUAGAUGUCCAUCCAUCAUUCGGAGUGCUUAAGAGGCUUAAACUUUUGAAUUUCAAAGACUGCAGAAGUCUUAGGAGUCUUCCAACCAGAAUUGAAGUGAAAUCCCUUGAAACAUUGAUUCUUUGGUGUUGCUCAAAACUUCAAAGGCUUCCAGAUAUCGAUGGGAAAAUGAAAUGUUUAAAAACUCUUAAUCUUUCUGGUUAUUAUAGAGUUGAAAAUUUACCAGAGAAUUUGCAGCAAGCGAAGUUUUUAGAAGAGCUCGAUUUAAGUGAAACAGCCAUAACAGAGCCACCAUACUUCACUUUUCAAUCUAAAAAUCUUAAAUUUAGUGGGUUUGGCCUGCCCUACAGGCAUUGACUGCCUUAGAGCCACUGACUGCUACAGAUUGGCUGAGAACAUCAAUCCAUUAACAUUGCUAAUUAUUAAAUACGUAAAAUACAAACCGUCCAACAUUUUUAAUUAUUACUUAUAAUUAAAGUAGACUCCACUUUGCCAACUCUCACCUUCUUGGAAACAACAUCCAUCGCUCAUCUUUGACCCCUAUGCUCAUAUACUUACUUUUUCUAGUUUCUUUGUGGAUAUUGGGCGAUCUAUUAUCUGAUUUUGAACACCAGAUUGAGAUAUUCUUCUCCUUUCAUACAUCCUCAUGUUGUCCUUACCAUCAACUUCUUCCUCCAUUUCUAAAAAGAAAUAUGAUGUUUUCUUGAGUUUUAGAGGUGAAGUUACUCGCAAAAACUUCACCGAUCAUCUCUAUGCUGCUCUAAAGAGGAGUGGGAUCGUCACUUUCAGGGAUGAUCCAAAGCUGGAGGCCGGCGAAGAGAUCGCGCCAGAACUCUUUAAAGCAAUUCAGCAAUCAAGGUGCUCGGUAAUCGUUUUUUCACAAACUUAUGCCUUUUCAAGUUGGUGCUUGGAGGAGCUUGCUGAGAUUGUUAAACAACAUAACAACGACGGCCAUAAAGUGUUUCCAAUUUUUUACGAUGUUGAUCCAUCUGAUUUAAGAAAACAAAAAGGGAAAGUGGAAGAAGCCUUUGCCAGACAUGAAGAGAGAUACAAAGAAGAAAGUGAGAAGAUCCAAAGGUGGCAAAAUGCUUUAAUUCAAGUGGCUGCAAUCGAGGGAUGGCAUUUAAAUAACAGGUAAUUCUUUCUUUUCUUCUCUAUUUUCUAGUUUUUUGGAUAUAUAUAUGUAUGUAUGUAUAACUUUUUUUUUUUCUAAUCCUAUGUGUUUAAUUGAAAAGUGUCAUAUUUCAAUAAAAGAGCAAAUUUUGUCUUCUGGCUCCGCAACAGAUCUUGCUUUCUUAUUCUUGGUUCUUGUUUGCUUCCAAACUAUAUUAUGUUUCAUGAUUCAUUGAAAAAGAAAGUGCAUUCGAAACAUAUCAACAAAAUUUUACUCAAAACAUUAAAAUUUCAUUUUUUUUAGGCAUGAAUCAGAAUUUAUUAGAGACAUUGUUAUGAAGAUAUCAGCAAAACUAUGUCAGACAUAUCCAGUUACUCAUAGCGACUUGGUUGGUAUUAUUGAACGCUUGGAGGAUUUGUAUUUAAAAAUAAACAUUGGGGAAGAUGAUGUCCGCGUUAUAGGAAUUAGCGGAAUGGGUGGCAUCGGUAAAACGACACUCGCAAGAGUUGCUUACACUCAAAUGUCACCUCAUUUUGAAGGUAAAAGCUUUAUUGCUGAUAUUCGAGAAGUUUCAGACAAAUGCGGACUAGUUUCUUUACAGAAACAACUUCUUUCACAGAUCUUUCAUGGUGAAUGCUUCAACUUCUUUGAUGUUCAUGAAGGGAGUGACAUAAUUAGCCAUGGGUUGUCUCACAAAAAGGUUCUUGUUGUUCUUGAUAAUGUUGAUAACAUACAACACUUAAAAUGCUUGGCUGGAAGGCACGAUUGGUUCGGAUUAGGAAGUAGAAUCGUUGUAACAACAAGAGAAGAACAUCUGCUUCGAUCUUGGCCAGUUGAUGAUAUGUAUGAGCCCACAACAUUGAAUCCCAAAGAUGCGCUUCAACUUUUCAGUCUGAAAGCUUUUCAUAGUGAUACACUGCAGAAAGAUGAUUUCAUUGAGCUUUCUAAACAUGUUGUAAAUUAUGCUGGUGGACUCCCUUUAGCUCUUGAAGUUUUGGGUUCCUUUUUGUGCGGUAGAGAUGCGACUUAAUGGAGAAGUGCGAUUGAAAGACUUAAAAGAGAUUCUAAUAAAGAAAUUCUCGAUAAACUUCGAAUCAGUUUUGAUGGACUGGAAGAAAGGGAGAAGAAUAUAUUUUUAGAUAUAGCAUGCUUCUUCUAUGGGGAGAGGAAAGAUUUUGUAAUCAAAGUAUUAGAUGGUUGUGAGUUUAUUCUUGAUAUCGAAAUUGAUGUUCUCAUUAAAAAUCUCUUGUAAAAGUCGAAAAAUACAACAGAUAUUUGAACAUGCAUGAAUUGUUGCAAGAAAUAGGAAGAAUAAUUGUUAAAGAAAAAUGUGUUGAUGAACUUGAAAAAUGUAGCAGAUUGUGGGAGGAAAGGGACGUCCAUCAUGUCCUAACAAAAAACACAGUAAGUCAUUCAACAAAAGUUACAUACUAUUUCUUUUCAAUCCUACAUUAUUCACCAUUUAUUUUAUUUUCUUAUUGUCUGUUCUAGAUUUUUUUUAGGCUACAAAAAUAAUUGAAAGCAUAAUCAUCGAUAAUAAAAGGUAAGAAGACACACAUAAACUUAUAUAGUACUAUAAAUAAUUAUUAUUUUUAAAUAUGAUAAAAAAAAACUAUACCAAAAAUUUUGACAUUCAAUAUUUCAAUGUUUAAUUAUGAAAUUUAUCUAGCAACAUAUUUACUUUUUAAAAGAGAAAUGUAUGUAUUUUUGAAAUAUUAAUGGUAUAUUUUUUUUGAGAAAAUUAAUGGUAUAUAUUUAAUGUACUAAAAGUGUAUAUCAACAAAUUAGGUUAUAACAUGUCAUCAAUUUUUUUUAAUGAAAAUGGUUUCAUUUUUAAUUAUGUGUCAUUGUUUGGUUCAUUAACUUGUAAAUUAUGCAUUGUUUGCUAACCAAAUAUAAAUGAACAUAUUAAUUCAAUUUUUUAGGAUUAGGUAAUUUAACAUCGGAUGUGAUUGCUAGACAUAAGUAUCUCUUUAAUAUGGGCAUAUUCAAAAAAAAUUUAAAAAUUAUUUUUUUUACGUAUUUAAAAGGUUCUUAAAGGAUCAUAUCUUAGUACCCAUAUACGAAUGUGCAUUAAAUAUAAGUAUUGGAUACGAGUACUUAAAAAACAAUAUCGAUGCAACAUUUCUUUUAGAUAUUGAAUGCUUUUGUAUAUUUUGAAGCUCAUUUUUGUUUUGCUCAUGGAUAUUAGGGAAUCGAAUAAGAUGCUUAAUUUGAGUGUGGAUACCUUCUUGAAGAUGAAAAAACUGAGAUUGCUCAAAGUGCUUUGCCUUUCAAAUUGUGAUGAUCUCAAAUAUCUUUCUAAUGAACUACAACUUUUAGAUUGGACAGGAUACCCUUUAAGAUACUUACCUUCAAGCUUUCAACCGGACAACCUUGUCGCAUUUCUUUUACCAUGUAGUCACAUUCAAAAACUAUGGAAGGGAAAUAGAGUAAGAAUUAACUCAUCUUAUACUUGUGUUUUAGCUUAUUUAAUUAUAAAUUAUUAAACUUUGAUUAAGGUAAAACAAAAAAACAAAAAUGAGCAUUGUUAUGUUUUCUCAUUUGUUUCUAAUUUAUUAUAGUCUUCAACAUCCCGUGUUUAACUUGAAAAUAAUGAACCUCAGAGGGUCUCAAAACCUGAUCAAGACACCAGACUUCACAACAGCAGCAAAUCUUGAAGUUUUGAUUUUGGAAGAUUGUACCAAAUUAGUGGAUGUUCAUCCAUCAAUCGGGGUGCUUAAGAGCCUUAAACUAUUGAAUUUAAGAGAUUGCAAAAGUCUUAGGACUCUUCCAACCAAAAUUGGAAUGGAAUCUCUUGAAACAUUAAUUCUUUCGGGUUGCUCAUGUCUUGUAAGAUUUCCGGAUAUUAUUGAUGGGAAAAUGGAAUGUCUAAAAACUCUAGAUCUUUCCGGUUGUUAUAGAGUGGAAAAUUUAUCGGAGAAUUUGAAACAAUCGAAGUUUUUGGAAGAGCUCGACUUGAGUGAAACAGCCAUAACAGAACCACCAUCCUUCAUUUUUCAAUUUAAAAAUCUUAAAGUUCUGUCUUUCAAUGGGUGCAAGGGUCCAUCAUAUAAGUUAAUACCAAAUUUGCCUUCUCUUUUCAAGGUAAUCCAAGGAAGAAGGACGAAUCCCAUGGCUUGGAUGUUGCCUUUGUUAUCAGGUUUGAGUUCUUUAAGAGAGCUAAAACUAAGGGACUGCAAUCUUUGUGAAGGAGAUAUUCCAUCAUCAGCAUACCUGCAUCUCUUACUCGACUCUCGAAGAUUGCAAAUCUUAUAUUGUCAAAUUGCAACAUGUGCACUUUUGGUGAAGCAGAUACUCAUAGUGAUAUUUCUGGUCUAUCCUCUUUGAGUUAUCUUAAUGUUAGUGGUAACAAUUUCAUCAGCAUACCUGCAUCUCUUACUCGACUCUCAAUGCUUCAUGAACUUGACUUGUCAAAUUGCAACGUGUGCACUCUUGGUGUAGCAGAUAUUCAUAGUGAUCUUUCUGGUCUAUCCUCCUUGAUACAUCUUGAUCUUAGUGGUAACAAGUUCAUCAGCAUUCCUUUGGCUCUUACUCAACUUUCCAGGCUCAGAUUGCUUAAAUUGUCAGGUUGUAUUAGGAGAUAAAGAGGUGUUGGUUAGCUGUUAUGCAUGCUGUUAACAGUUAGUUAGGUAAGGGCAGUUGUAACUGCUGUUGACUCACUGUAUAUAUACACACGUACUUUGCAUGAGAAAAUAAUAAGAAGAAAUGAUAGACGAAGUUUUAUCUAGUAUUCUUGGAUGAUUAGCAUGGUAUCAAGAGCCAGUUGAAUCUUACUGAUUUUCUGGAAAAAAAAGGGGUGCCUCAUGGCCACUGAUGCAGUAGGUGAAACUCCCCGUCACUCGUCCAACACCAGAGAAGCUGAACACUCACAAGGUAAUGGUGCUCAAGGCCCGACUGAAGUGCACUAUUUCUCCAAGCAUGAUACAAUAAAGCUUGCGUCGCACAACUACCUUUUGUGGAAACAUCAGCUCUUGCUGAUUCUUGAAGGGUAUGGACUUGAAGGAUAUGUACUAGGUACCACUUCCUCCCCUCCUCAGUUUAUUGAUGGUCCUGAUGGUCAGCAAAUUGCGAAUCAAGAUUUCAUCGUUCAUCGAAAGCAAGAUAAGUUUCUUGCCUCUUGGCUUUUAUCUACUAUUACGGAUGAUAUUUUGGCUCAUCUUACAACCGCCAAAACUAGUUGUGAUCUGUGGAAUGCGAUUGAAAGGAAAUUUAGUGCUAAAUCAAACAUAAAAAUCUUGAGCAUGCGGCAUGCUUUAUACUCUCUCAAGAAGUCCAAUCUUUCUGUUAAAGAGUAUAUGUCGAAAGUUAAGCAGCUCAGUGAUGAUUUGACUGCGGUUGGGAGCUUUAUAUCUGAACAGGAACAAGUGAGCGUUAUAUUGGCUGGACUUUCUGUUGAAUUUGAUUCCAUUAGAGUUCUAGCUACUGCAACUCCAUUAUCUCUUGAUUUGUUGAGUGAAUUGUUACUUGACUGUGAAGUACGUCAAUUAGAGCUGUUAAAAGACACCUCCUGUCAAGCAAAUUUGGCAACUCAUCAGCAAAAUAGCAAUGAUACGGGUAAACAAUCAGCAGACUCUGCUGGGUAUUCUCAAGACUCCAAGCAGAAUGAUAGAGGACAGGGCCUUGGGUGGUCUCGUGGUCAUUUUCGGGGAAAUGGACGAGGAUGGUCACGUUCGAGGCCGCAAUGCCAGUUGUGUGGAAAGAUAGGCCACAUGGUUCAAACAUGUUACCAUAGAUUUGAUGAGUCGUUCUCUGGGAAUGCAGGAGCUGGUACGGUUCAAGUUAAUUGUCAUCAGUUGCACGCUUCCAGUUGUGUGCCAGCUGCUCCAACAUGUCAAGCGAUGUCUCACUGCUAUCACACAAAUCCUCAGUCUUCCUCUGGUUCUUUUCCACCUCAUCCAUCUUCACAAAAUAGUUCUAUCUGGUACCCCGAUUCUGGAGCGACGAACCAUAUAACACCAGAGGUGUCUAAUCUUGCGGCUCCCUCUUCAUAUACAAGUAAGAGUUGUGUCACCAUGGGUAAUGGUGAUUCGGUGCCUAUUGCUCAUGUUGGUUCAACCGUUCUUUCGACUGGAACCCGACUCCUAAAGCUUCAGAACGUACUGCAUGUUCCUGCAGUGUGCAAAAAUCUAAUGUCUGUGGGUCAGUUUGCUAGAGAUAACAAUGUUUAUUUUGAAUUUCACCCUGUUCUAUGUUUUGUGAAGGAUGUUCAGACAGGGAAGACACUUCUCGAGGGCCGCAUGCAUGAUGGCCUUUACAAAUUUCGGUUCGCAAAGCCUGUGUCAGCUUCAGGUGCUAAAUCUCCAGAGUCAAAUUCAACAGUAUUGAAUACUGCCAACUCUAUUCAGUGUGCACCUUCCUCUUUGUGGCAUGACAGACUAGGUCACCCAUGUACUGAGGUUCUUAAACGAGUUUUAAAAACUUGUAAUAUUCCAGUUAAACAGAAUUGUGUGCAACAUAUGUGUACAGCUUGCCAACUAGGUAAAGCUCACAAACUUCCGUUUACAGCAUCUAAAACAAUGUAUUCCUCUCCUUUUGAACUCAUUGUAUCUGAUGUAUGGGGCCCUGCCUAGUUACCUUCAAAUGAUUUUCGUCAUUACGUUUCGUUUGUGGACAUGCAUAGCAGAUUUACCUGGGUCUAUUUUCUUCAAAACAAAUCAGAAGUCGCUCGGUGUUUUAGAGAUUUCUAUCAGCUGGUUAACGUGCAAUUUGAUAGGUCUAUUAAAAUGCUACAAACUGAUGGUGGUGGUGAGUAUCGAGUACUAGCCCGUGAGUUAUCCUCUCUUGGUGUCCAACACAGGAUUGUGUGCCCCUACACUUCGGAGCAAAAUGGGGUAGCUGAGAGAAAACAUCGACAGCUUAUUGAUAUGGCUUUGUCACUAUUAGCUCAUGCAAGUCUACCGUUGAAGUUUUGGUUUUAUGCUGUUAUGCAUGCUGUUCACCUAACCAAUCGACUACCAACUCCGGUCCUCGGACAGACUAGUCCCUAUGAGGUUCUCCACCAAGUCAAACCAAGCUAUGAGCUCUUAAGGGUCUUUGGGUGUGCGUGCUUCCCAAAUCUCAGGCCUUUUCAGCCUCACAAGCUGAGUUUUCGGUCUCAACAAUGUGUAUUCCUUGGGAAUGUUCCUAAUACCAAGGGCUAUCGGUGUCUCGCAGAAGAUGGCAGCAUGUUUGUGUCUCGACAUGUAAUUUUUGACGAGAAAAAAUUCCCUUUCAAAGAUGGGUUCCAAACUAAGGCCGUCUCACAAAGCUCGCGGACGGUACCUCAUCGGUCUAUUCUCCCAAUAGUUUCAGCUGGUGGUUCGCAUGUUCCUGCUACGACAAGGGCAUCAGCUAGCCCAUCUACCAUAGGCAUCUCUCCUGGGCAGUCUCAACACAAUCCUACAGAGUCUCCGGCUCUUAAUGACACAAAUGGUCCACCUAAUAACUCUGACCUAUCUCCAUUACUACCUACUCGAGUCAAUCAUCACCCCAUGCAGACACGUUCAAAAAAUGGGAUUUUUCGACCUAAAGUGCUGGCUUCAGUCGUAGAUGAAGUUGAACCUACCACCAUUCAUGAGGCGUUUCAAAGUCCAGCUUGGACUACAGCAGCCGAGAAAGAGUACAAUGCCUUGAUUUCCAAUCACACCUGGGAGCUAGUUAGUUUACCUGAAGGUCGACGAGCCGUUGGAUGUAAAUGGCUCUUCCGUAUCAAGAGGCAUGCAGAUGGGUCUGUUGCUAGAUACAAGGGCAGACUCGUGGUCAAAGGGUACCUCCAGGAAGCCGGUGUUGACUUUCAAGACACUUUCAGUCCCGUCGUCAAACCCACCACAAUCAGAGUCGUCCUUGCCCUGGCCGUUUCUCACCAGUGGUCUCUUCGACAAGUUGACAUAAACAAUGCCUUCCUUAAUGGAGACUUGAGCGAGGAGAUUUAUAUGUCACAUCCACCAGGUUUUGAACAGUAUGGCUUACAUGGAGAGCCUCUGGUCUGCAAGCUAAAGAAGGCUCUCUAUGGUCUCAAACAGGCUCCACGAGCCUGGUUUCAAAAACUAAGGGAAUUUUUGGUGACCAUGGGGUUCGACACUUCCAAAGCGGAUAACUCGCUCUUCAUUCGACAUCGUGGGGAUGCUUUGUUGUACGUUUUAGUGUAUGUCGAUGACAUCAUCGUGACAGGCAGUGACUCACAGGAAAUUGAUAAGUUUGUCAAGACACUUGAUGGUCAGUUUGCGUUGAAGGACCUUGGCUAGUUGAGCUAUUUCCUUGGUAUUGAAGUCAAGCACACGUCGAAUGGGAUAGUUUUGUCUCAAACUAAAUACAUUAGAGACUUACUUCAAAAAGUAGCUAUGGACAGAUCCAAUGCUCUCCCAACACCAAUGGUUGCAAAUAAUCGUCUUACUGCUGAGGAAGGAAGCCCCCUUGAAGAUGAACAUCAGUAUCGCAGCAUCGUAGGAGCCUUACAAUAUAUCGUGAUCACAAGGCCUGACAUCGCCUAUUCAGUCAACAAGGUGUGCCAAUUCAUGCACAAACCACUAACCGGUCACUUCAAAGCAGUCAAGAAGAUACUACGGUAUUUACAAGGAACAAUGAAUUACGGAUUACAGUUUACUCGGGCUUCCAAAUUCCUUCUUGAAGGAUAUUCGGAUGCGAGUUGGGGAUCAGACGUUGACGAUCGAAGGUCCACCUCGGGGUAUUGUAUCUUCCUUGGAGGAAAUCCGGUCUCGUGGAGCUUGAAAAAGCAACACGUUGUGUCUCGUUCCACAACAGAGGCGGAAUAUAGGAGUGUUGCACAUGUCACUGCUGAAAUGACGUGGAUACAAUCCCUAUUAACUGAAUUGUGUGUUCCAAGCUUACCAAAGGCACUAAUUUGGUGUGAUAGUUCAGCAGCAAUAGCAGUUGCAGGAAAUCCAGUCAUGCACUCCAAGUUCAAGCAUGUGGAGCUAGACAUUUUCUUUGUUAGAGAAAAGGUGGCAGCUGGAGUUGUUCAAGUUGGUCAUGUCCCAGGGACCCAUCAGCUAGCAGACAUACUAACAAAGCCUUUGUCAGCCUCAGGAUUUAACCGGUUUCGGGAGUUACUUCGAGUGGUUAACACAAACUAAGGGGUUUUAGUUAGUCAGGAAAUGGAUGAGUAUGAGGAAUAUUAGGAGAUAAAGAGGUGUUGGUUAGCUGUUAUGCAUGCUGUUAACAGUUAGUUAGGUAAGGGCAGUUGUAACUGCUGUUGACUCACUGUAUAUAUACACACAUACUUUGCAUGAGAAAAUAAUAAGAAGAAAUGAUAGAUGAAGUUUUAUCCAGUAUUCUUGGAUGAUUAGCAGGUUGCAAGAUGCUUAAAUCGUUGCCUGAGCUAACAACAAGAAUAGGAAAUGUGAUAAUAGACGAUUGUUUUUCACUUGAAGUAGUUGCAAGUCCAUCAAAAAUAUGCAAUUUAGUGGGUGGUGAUGACAUUCGUGCCAUUAACUGCUUCAAAUUGGUUGAGAAAAUCAAUGCAUUAGCACUGCUGAAAGAACAUAUUAAGGUCUAUUAAUCUAUUUUUUCUCCCUUACAAAAUCUCAUACUUGAGAAUUUAUGGUUUUAGUUACCAGACGACUUGUGUUUUAUUUUGCAGGCACUUCCAAAUUCUAGAAAAUGGUUUGAUAAUGGCUUCUUUGAUAUUAUGAUGCCCGGAAGUGAAAUUCCAGAAUGGUUUAGCCAACAAAAAAGUGACUCUUCAAUUAAGAUACCCCUACCUAUCAACCUUCGGAAAGAUAGUCAAUGGAUUGGAGUUGCUUGCUGCUGCAUUUUUGUCAAUAAUGAUGCUUCAAGGAAUAAGAAGUUUAUCAGCUGUGAAGGAUCGAUUUUUCGAGGUAGAAAUUGUCGACCAAUUUAUUGGAGAAACCGGUGGGUAGGUCGAUACUUUCACAAGCCCAUAAUGAAAGAUCACCUUUUUCUUCAUUAUUUUCCGCGUGAUGAAUUAUAUCCAUUUUCCUUGGAGGAUAAAUAUGGUGACUGUGAAACGAAUAAUUUAUGGACAACAGAUUGCUUAGAUCAAAUAGGUGAUGAGCUUAAGUUUUGUUUCCAUACCAAAUUUGGACCAAAUUACGGUUGUGUUAAGGUGAAGAAGUGUGGUGUUAGAAUAGUGUAUGAGAAAGAUUUGGAAGAAAUGAAAGAGUUGCAGUGCCAUACCACUCAAUCUUCUCCAAAUUUUGAACACAUCCACCAACACUCUGCUCACAACCAUGGAUCAGUAGGUAGCACUUCUCACAUGAAACGGAAACGUAAUAUCUAUGAGGAAACGGAGGAAGAAGAGCCGCAACCAAAACGGAUGCAAAUUUUUUUCAAAUUUGUAAUGGGCCAAUCAAGAAAGAAGUAUUAACUGUGGUAAACUACUUAACCAACUUUGUCCUAUUAAUUUUUUUUACACAUCUUGUAUUUCAUUUAAACAAUUAUUCUAGACUUGUUUUGCAUAUGAGAUAUGAUCCUUCCAUUAUAUGCCAAAACAUUUUAAAAAAUUUUAUUCAUAUUCAUAUUCAACAUGUACAUAUCUCAAAUGUUAAUAACAUUGUUUUUUAUACCAUUUAAAAUUUUAGUCACUUAAUUCAUUCCUUUUUACAUUAUCGAAAUGUGUAUAUUUUAAUUGGUUUCACCUUUUUUUUAUUAAAAUUUUAUUUCAACUAUAUAUAUAUAUAUUCACUUACAUCUAUAUUUUAUUUGUAGGUUGAAGAUGAAGCAAAUUAAAACAAAAUUAUGAGGCAAAAAUGGAGACGAAGCAAGUAAUGAUAAAAUUGUCCACCAUAACCUCUUUUCCAUCGGAGCUGUCAAAAUGUGACAAACAAAAUUUAUCAUCGACAACAUGAACUUCAAGAAAGUGCAGCAUAAAUUUGAGGACUCUCAGAGACUCCAACAACAGAAUCACAUCUAAGAUCAGCAAGCUAAAAAUUUUAGCAUUCUAGUAGUUCAUGUCCUAAAUUUCUUGCUAUGUUAGGGGUCACAAGUGAUAGCAUCAUCAAUUUCUCGUAAAUAAAAUCCUUGGGAAUGAAACAAAAAUCUGUUAUUUGAAGGUAAAAAGAAUAUUCCGAAAGCCAAAAAGAAAUUUCUAAAUCAGGUCAUACAUACUCAAUCAGCACAUAGUGCUUAUAAAGUGUAGGACAUUCUCCCAAAUCGAGAACUAAAGAAAAACAUGAUGAUUUCUAAGAAACUAUAUCCAAAUUGUUGGUGUUAGGAACAAAAAAUGAACAAGUUCAGCUUGUGGCUUGAGCAGCAAGGCUCAAUGCUUGUUGAAGAAACAAUAGAACUUGAGGAAAAAUGAAAAGAAAAGAAAAGAAAACAAAGAAAAGUGAAGAGUAUUGGAACAAAAACUGAUAGAAUUCAUUCAAAUUUUAUCAAUGGCAUAAUGUCAAUACAUAAACCAAGCAAUUUGCUUGUCAAAAUCAGUAUAUGGUCACCUAAUUGCUACCUACUACCACUAAUAUAUUGAAACUUGUAAAAACAAGCUUGUACACUUAAACAAAGCUGAGUUAACAGCUCAUUCAUCAACAAAUUACAUCAACCAUCAACCUAACAUAGUUCAAAAUGAACUAAAAUACAUUACAUCAACUUAAGAUUACAAAAUAAACAAAAUAGGAACAGUUAUGCUUGCUCCAACAGCUUCCGCAUGGCUCGAUCUUCAUGGCCUGCUUGUUGUCUGCUUCUUUGCUACAUGCUGACCAACCUUCAACACUCCUCCUUGGUUAGCAUGUUGCAAACUCCUAAUUUCUUCCUUAAGUGCUCAAAUUAACUUUGUUACACUAAGGGCCUUGGUCAAAAUGUCAGCAAGUUGAUCCUCUGAAUUGCAAUGAACCAAUUUCACUUCUGAGCUUGCUCCAUUUCUCUAACAACAUGGAGUUGAAUGCUGAAAUGUUUUGUUCUUCCAUGGAACACUGGAUUCUUUGCAAUUGCAAUAGUAGAUUGAUUGUCACAAAAGAUCUUUGUUGCUUCCCUUUGAUGCACAUUCAAGUCAGCCAUAAUUUUUCUUAGCCAAAUGGCUUGGUUGACAGCACUUGCUGCUGCAACAUAUUCAGCUUCAGCAGUAGAUUGAGCCACUAGUGUUUGCUUCUUUGAACUCCAAGAAAACAUGGCUGAACCAAGAUUGAAAGCAUACCUUGAGGUGCUUUUCAUGUCAUCUAUCGAACUAGCUCAGUCACUAUCAGUGUAGCCAACUAACUUCAGGCUUUUAGCUUUGUUGUACAUCAAGCCAUGGUUCAAUGUACCCUUGACAUACCUGAGCACUCUUUUUACAGCUUGAAAGUGCUUCUCAUUGCUGCAAUGCAAGAACCUUGAAAGCAAACUCACAGCAAACAUAAUGUCAGGCCUAGUGUCUGUCAGAUACAACAAACAACCAACUAAGCUCCUAUAGGUUAUUUCACAAACCUUCUCAAAAUUACCAUGACUAGAAAGCUUCUCUCCAACAGCAACUGGAGUAUUGGUUGCUUUGCUGUUUUGUAUUGAGAACUUAGUCAGAAUCUUGGAGGCAAAUGCUUUCUGAUUUAGGAAUAUCCCAUUGUGCAUCUGUGUCACUUGCAUGCCAAGAAAAUGGGUCAUCCUUCCUAGAUCAGACAUCUCAAAAAUCUGCUGCAUUUUGGUCUUAAAAUCAAUCAGGAUUGCUUGGUCUCCUCCUGUUACCAACAAGUCAUCAACAUACAGGGACACAAUGAUCUGUGUUUGUACCCCUUCUUUCUUGACAUACAAUGUUGGCUCACUCUUGCUUCUCUCAAAUCCCAAACUGAUCAGAUAGCUAUCAAUUUUGCUAUACCAGGCCCUUGGAGCCUAUUUCAAGCUAUACAAGGCUUUCUUCAGUUUGUAGACCAUAUGUUCUUUACCAGCCACUUCAAAGCCCUGAGGUUAGGGGUGAGCAAAACUCGAUUCGACUCGAAAAAAUCGAAAAAAAUUCAAAUUUCGAGUUAAACGAAUCGAGUUAUUCGAGUUAAUUGAGUUAUUCGAAUCAACUCGAAUUUUUUUUUCAAAUUUCGAGUUCGAAUCGAGUUGAGUUUUCGAAUUCGAAUAAUUCGAAUAAUUCGAAUAUCAAACUAUAAUAUUUUACAUUUUUACCCCAAACUCCCAAACCUUUUUACUUUUCCCUCAAAACUUUUACUCCUUCUCACUUUCCCUCAAAACUUUUGCUCCCCUCCCCUCCCAACCCCCCAAUCUACCCAAAAUCCAUUUCACACCAAAAUUUUACUCUCCCAUUUACUUGUUCUCAAAAUUUUACUCCCCAAAACCUUCAAAACCUUUUAUUUUCCCCCAAAAUUUUUACUCCCUCCCACUUUUCCCCUAAAACUUUUAUUCCCUUCCCAUCCCACCUCCCAUCUACCCCAAACCCUCCCCCCUCCAAAUUUUUUUUAAUAUUUUCCCUCCAAAAUUUUACUCCCACUUAUUUACUUUCCCUCAAACUUCUAUUCCCCAAAACUUUUUAUUUUCCCCCAAAACUUUUACUUCUCACCCUUUACUCUCAAAUAAAAAAUCAAAAUUAUCCAAAAAAAAAACUAAAUAUAAAUAGUAAUAAUUUUAUUUAUAUCUAUUAUUUAUAUUAUUAAAUUAAAUUUCACAUUUUAUAUUAUUUAUAUUAUUGAAUUAUUUAGUCAUAUUGAAUAUUUAUAUUAAAAUUGAGUUAUUAAUUAUGCCAUAAAAUAUCCGUGUUAAAAUUUUAUAUUGGUAUCAAUUUCACAUUUUAAAUUUAAAAUAACUUUUAUUAAAAAAAAUCAUAUUUUUACAUUUAAUAUAUUUUCUAAUUCCAAAAUACAUAGUAACAAGAAUCUGAAGAUAAUUGAAACAAGUAAGUAAGCAAAGAAGCUAACCAAUAUAUAAAAAAUUAAUAAAUAAAUUAUGAGGUGAUGAAAGUUAAUCAAAAUUUGAUUAAGGUACACAAAUUUUAUUACGAUGGGUGACAAUGGUUACAAGGACCCAAAAUAAUUUUUUAAAAUUUAACUCGAAUAAAUAUAUUCGAUUCGAUUCGAUUUGAGAAAACUUCAAAUAAAGUUAGGAUGAUAAAAUGAGAUUCAAAAACUCGAUUAACUCAAAAAUUUUUGAUUCGAUUCGAUUCGAUCGAAUGCUCACCCCUACCUGAGGUUGUUCAACAUAGAUCUCUCCUUCAAGAAAUCCAUUGAAGAAGGCUGACUUCACAUUGAGCUGGUGGAUUUUCCACUGCAUUUGUGCUGUUAAGGCAAUCAGAAGCCUGAUGGUGCCAAGCCUGGCCACUAGUGCAAAGGUUUCCAAGUAAUCCAAACUAUACUUCUGGCUAAACCCCUUGACAACCAGCCUUGCUUUCAGCUUAUUCAAGCUCCCAUCAGCAUUAUGCUUGGCUCGAUAGACCCAUUUCACCCCAAUGAUCUUCCUUUUGGCUGGUCUUUCAACUAGUUCCCAAGUCUGAUUCUUCUCAAUCAUGCUGAUUUCAUCAUCCAUUGCUUGCUCCCACCCUUGCUGAGCUUCAACCUCUUCAAAGCAGCUUGGUUCUGCUAUGGCUACUUGAGCUCUUUCAUAAAUUUCAGCCAAAGGUCUAGUGCCCCUGACUGGUUCAUCAUUAAUGUCCAUUUCAAGACCAUUUUGAUCUAGCUCAGUUUGGUCUGUUACAAGGUCUUCAGAAACUACCUAUAGCUCAUUCUUUUCCCAACUCCAGCAUGACUUCUCAUCAAACACCACAUCUCUGCUUACAGACACUUUACUUGUUGAAGGAUCCAAGAUCCUAUAGCCCUUUUUGACUGUGUUAUAUCCCACCAAAAUACCAGGUCGAGCUCUUUUAGCCAGCUUAUCCCUUUUAACAGUAGGCACAUGUGCAUAGCAGAUAUAACCAAAGACCUUUAGGUGAGCCAAUGAUGGCUUGAAUCCAAACCAGGCCUCAAAAGGAGUUUUGUGAUCCAAGGCCUUGGUAGAAAGCCUAUUUUGGAUGUACACAGCAGUGUUAGCUGCCUCAACCCACAAGGUUUUAGGUAAAUUCUUCUCAAAUAGUAGUCAUCUGGCCAUAUCCAUCAAGCUCCUGUUCUUCCUCUCACUUACACCAUUUUGUUGAGGAGUAUAGGUGUUGGUGAGCUAGUGUUUGAUGCUUGCCUCAUCACCAAAAAACUGGAAUUGAGCUGAGGUGUACUCAGUCCCAUUGUCAGACCUUAUAGUCUUGAGCUUGCAGCCUGUUUCAGUUUCAGCACCAAUCUUGAACUUUGAAAACACUGAGCCUACCUCUGAUUUCUGCUUCAAAAAAUAAAUCCAGCAAAAUCUUAAAAAAUCAUCAAUAAACAGAAUGAAGUACCUGCUUCCAUUCAGUGACUUGAUCUUCAUAGGGCCACACACAUCAAUGUGGCCUGAUUUGAAGGAAAUGGGAGCCUAGCUUACUGUCCUAGCUGGCAUAUUUCACAAACCUUCUGUUUUUCAACUGAACCAAUGAAAUUUUUAGCCAAGUCAUCUCUGGAUAGCUGAUCCAUUGAUCUGUAGCUGUUGUGGUUGUAUAGGCAGUGUCUGAGCCAUUUGUCCAAUCAACAACAAAGCUCUUAUCAGCCAUAGUGACUGCCAUGAACUUGGAUCCACUUGGAUCACUGAUUUGGCACUCAUUGCCUUUGAACACUACAGAAUACCCUUUUUGUAGCUGUUGAGCUAUGCUAAGCAGGUUUCUAUCAAUUUCAGGUACCAACAACAUAUUCGAGAUGAGCUUGUUACCUGUAGGAGUGCAUAUCAACACAUCUCCUUUAUCUUCUGCCUUAAUAAAAUGACCAUUACCAAUAUUAACUUUGGUUUUGCAGCCUCUGUCUAAGGACUUAAAAAUGGCAGCAUUUUGUGUCAUGUGGUUUGUGCAGCCACUGUCCAAGAGCCAGCCAUUUGUAAGCUUCUCCUGAGGAGCUGAGCAUGACACAGCAAAAACUUGCUCCUCAUGGUCACUAUCUUCUUUUGCUACUCGAGCCUCAGCCUUUGGCUAUUGGAGUUGGUUCUGCUUUGGCUUGCCCUUGCUUUUGUAGGCCUUUUCAACAUGCCCCAUCUUUUUGCAAUAUUGGCAUUACACAUCUGUUCUAAACCAACAAUUUGCUUCUGGAUGACUAGACCUUUUUCAAUGCCUGCAGGGUUGGUCCCUUCUUUUUGCAGGAUCAGACUUUGGCUUAUCUCUCCAAGUCUUUUUGCCCUUGUAGGCAAAGGUGCUCAAGACAUGUUUGGUUUUUGCUUGAAAGGCACAUUCUAGGCGCUUCUCUAGUCUGCUAGCUCUUCUCUACUCUUGUGCAUAGAGAGCAUUGAUCAGCUCUGUCAGUGAGAUGUUGGUCAAGUCUCUUGAAUCUUCAAGGGAUGAAAUUUUUGCCUCAUACCUCUCUGGUAAGGUUGAAAUCACCUUUUCCACUAUCCUUGCUUCAUUGAACUGCUCACCAAGGAGCCUUAUGCUGUUUACCACAGCCAUAAUCCUGUCUGAGUACUGUUUGACAAUUUCUUCUUCCUUCAUUUUCAAAUUCUCAAAGUCCCUUCUUAGGUUCAACAAAUGUUGUUGCCUUGUCCUCUCUGUCCCUUGAAACUCCUCUUUUAAUUUGUCACAGGCCUGCUUUAGUGUUUCACAGGCCAUGAUCCUUGGAAAAAUCACAUCUGACACUGAGUUUUUAAUGCAAGAAAUGGCCUUGUGCCUUUUGGUCCUUUCAUCAGCAUGCUGCCUGAUCUGAGCCACUGUUGAAUUCGCUCUGAGUGGCUCUGGUUCAACAUCUUAGUUGACCACCUCCCACAGAUCGAAUGCCUGCAGAUAGGUUUUCAUUUUGACCACUCAUAUGUGAUAGCCUUCUCCAUUGAAGACUGGUGGUGCAGUUGGUGAGAAGCUUGAUGAGGCCAUUGUUUUGUAAAAUAGGUCCCUUAAGAUUAAGGCUCUAGAUACCAAUUGUUGGUGUUAGGAACAAAGAAUGAACAAGUUCAGCUUGUGGCUUGAGCAGGAAGGCUCGAUGCUUGCUGAAGAAACAAUAGAACUAGAGAAAAAAAGAAAAGAAAAGAAAGCAAAGAAAAGUGAAGAGUAUUGGAACAAAAACUGAUAGAAUUUAUUCAAAUUUGAUCAAUGGCAUAAUGCCAAUACAUAAACCAAGCAAUUUGCUUGUCAAAAUCAGUAUAUGGUCACCUAAUUGCUACCUACUACCACUAAUACAUUGAAACUUGUAAAAACAAGCUUGUACACUUAAACAAAGCUGAGUUAACAGCUCAUUCAUCAACAAAUUACAUCAAUCAUCAACCUAACAUAGUUUAAAAUGAACUAAAAUACAUUACAUCAACUUAAGAUUACAAAAUAAACAAAAUAAGAAUUGUUGUGCUUGCUCCAGCAGCUUCUGCAUGGCUCUAUAUUCAUGGCCUGCUUGUUGUCUCCUUCUUUGCUACAUGUUGACCAACCUUCAACACAAAUACAUGUGCAAACAUGAUAGUUACAACAGAAAAGACUACAUAAAAUGCCCCAACAACAACCGAAACUCUAAAGGGCGGCAUGAAAGUACAUUAAGUGCUAAUACAACAUGAUAAGUUGAUAACUUACGCAAGCAAGAACCAGACUUCAAUCCAAUAAAACCACACACCAGUAGCAAAGCAAAAUUAUUUUGAAGUCAGCUGAACUAAAACUUUAGAACUUUUAUAGAGAAAUUAAAUUGAUUAUGAUCUGAAUGGGAUUAUAUGUUGAAGGCUAGAAGUUUCAACCUAAAAUGUACUAAACAAUGCAUGGAUAUAAUUUCAAGACAUGAUACGUCAGCCAAUUAAGGUACAAAAGCAAGCAAUCAUACAUUUUUGCAAGUUAUUUGCACUCCAUUUACUUCUUAUAGAAAAAGAGAACGAAAAAUCAUAACAAUGCUCAAAAUAUAGUUGCAAGAUUCAUUCAGUUCAAAGGUGGUUGAAAUAGAGUUUGUAACAAACCUGAUUGCCAAGAAGGUUUCUGACACAUCUCGAGUGUUGGCUGAUACAGAAGCCAAAAAUCCUACAGGCUUGAGGAUCUUGGUUAUGACAGGUGCACUUAAAGAAUUAUCAAUUGGGGACCUAUGACUUGAACUGUCUGCUGCUAAACCAAGAUUUACGAUUUCCAUCUCUGCAUCUGUAAUUGCAUAGCCAACAUGGACAUUUGUAGCUUUUGGAGUCAAAUUAGGUCCAGAAGAGUCUGGGUCCCGUUUAAACCUCUUAACAGAACCAGACUUCCUUCUUUUAGCUCCCGUGUGACUCUGAACUGAUUCCCCACAGUCAACCUUUGGUAACCCAUAUACAGGUCCAUCACCUUCAGAAGCUUUGCCUUCUUGAAACCGAAUUGCAAGCUUAUCUGUAUUGCCCCCUUUAGAAGAGAAUGCACCUUUUAGCUCACUAAGUUUGGUAUCAUAAUCAUUUUUAUUCUUUGUCUCAUCAAUUUUCUUUGAACCGUUUCCAAAAUUGUUAUCCUUAAGCUGUCAUCGUUAUUUGUUUCAUUGAAAAGACCAAGAUGCUGGACGGGAUAAGCUCCAGGAAUUCCUUUGUUAGGAAGAUUACAAAGGCUAUUCCAUGGCCAUGGAAGUAUCCCGGUACAAAUGCAAAAAAUGAAUGUGGUAGAAAAGGAGGAACCACUAGCAUUUAUUGAGACCAAACGGUAGCAAUGAUUUCUAUUUGGUUAAAUUUUGAUGUUAGUUUUGUAUUAUUUAUAAAGUUAAAUUUAGUCCAUAUUCUCCAACUAGAUUAUCUUUAAUUCUUAUAUAUUUCGAAUUUUAAUUUUAAUGAAAACAAUAAUAGUUAAAUGUAUUUGCCACAUCAAAUUUUAAUGAAUUUAAUUUGCACCAUUUAAUCUUAUGUUCAGUUGAGCACUUUGAUCCACUAAAUCUUUCCUCUUUGUAUACCCUCCUCAUGCACAAGCAAAUGGCAACACCAACUAAUAUACACACACUUGCCACUGGAACCAUGAUCCAAACCCAUAGUUGAUUGCCAUUUCCUCCUAUAUCAGUAUCAGAAAACACCCACAAUUUCACACGGUUGAGCUCAGUUUCAUUGCUUGUUGAACCAAAGAAUCCCAUGAAAACCUUCUGCGGAAGAUAAGUAGAGAGAUUAGUAGGUUAAGAAAGCAUAAGUGUCUGGUUGUGCCCAAUGAAAAUUGAUAGGUUUCGGCCGUCAAAACAAAUAUAAACCUUUAAAUCCUGACCUCCGACUGAAAUAUGAACAUCGUAGUUGCUUAAAGAAACUUGCUUGGUCGAUUGGAUUCUGUUUAUGUUUAACCUAAUAUGGUUGUCAUCCAUAUCUUGCUCGUUGCUCUUCCUGGUGUCAAAUUCCACCGCCACCACACUGGCUUGAUUGAGAAGAACCAUUUGUGUUCUCAUUUACCAUCCCCAGCCACUGUCUUUGGCUGUUGUCCAGUAGGCUGGAGUUGUUUAUUAAAAAGGCAACACCUUCGCCACCACUAGAGGUUUGAUUGAGGAUAUUGAGGAUGAACUCGUAUUGAAAGAAGCAAUGGUGGUGUGGUUGCCUUUCCAAAGCCGAAAUGGUUUCUUAUACAGAGCUCGUCCAGAAAAAUGUUCCAUGGAACCUCCAUAACAUCUGGAGUAAGUUGGAUGGCUCCAAGAACUAUGUAAGAAUUCCUACUCAAGAUAAGCUGGCUUUCACCUUCUUUUUUGAAAGUUAAAAAAUUGAACUAAAAAGGCCUUCUAUUAUAUAUCAAAAGAUUUUAAAAUUUUUAUUCAUACUCAUAUUGAUAACAUAGUUUUUUAUACGUUUAAAAUUUUAGUCACUCAUUUUUACAAAAUGUGUACGUUUUGAUUGGUUUUACUUUUUUUUUAAUUUUAUUUUCAUUGUAUAUAUUCACUUACAUCUAUAAUUUAUUGUAGGUUGAAUUAAAUUUAAUCAACUUAAUACCAAAAUGUGGAAAGCAAUGAACAUAUUUUGUGACGAAGCAGGUAAUAAUAAAGUGAAUCCUUUGAUAAGGAUUGAUCAUAAUUUCAGCUGUGAAAUGAUAAAAUUAACAUAUUUUAAUCUCAUUCUUAAUGCGUUUUUGGAUGAGUAUUUAUGCAAAUUGGUGAAUUUGAUGCUCCUAAUCCUUUGAAUUCAUGUUCUUAUAUUUAGGUGAAUAUUAGAGAGCAGAAGAAGCGAAAAAUGAGCGAAAAUCAGAGAAAAAGAGCAAAUUUCAGGAGCCACACGGCUGGACACAUGCCCAUGUGCCGGCCCGUGUUGAUUUCGCACUUUGCUUCCCAAACACGUGGAAAAACAUAAUUUUUAGGCUUUCUAAACAUUUUAAAGUCUAUAAAUACCAAAUAGAAGAAGAGAUAGGGGAGCCACUAGAGAAGCUCGAAGAAAACACUUAAGGCACACCAUUGGAGUUAAUUCCCUAGAUACUUGGGAGGAUGAAACCUAUAACGAAUUCUAUUAUUUAAUAUCUAAUUUACAUGAUAAAUACUUUAUUCUUAUUCUUAAUUAUGCGUACUUAUUUCUUAUUUUAAUAUUUCUGGGAUAUUAAUUCAUGUUUAAUGUGCUUAAUUUAGUGGAGGAAAAGUCCCUGUUUAAGAGUAAAUCUAGCAUAAUUGAGUGGAGUUGCAUGCAAUCCUAUAAAUAGGACGACAUAAAUCUACCUGAUUAGAGUCAAAUCUAAUAAGGGAAUCCAUAGAUUUAGUUACUGCGACAAUAGGGGUUUUAAUUAGAAAGAGAUUUCAAUUAAUCAAUCUAAUUAAAGUCAAUUGUUCUUACUCUCGAAAUAGAUAUUAGCAUAGUUUAGGGAUUUCUACGAAUUAAGACACCAAGUAAAUAAAUCGUUUAAAUCAAAAUAAUAAUAAUAGAGGGAAUCCAGGUGGAUUACGCAUUUUUAUUUGUAAUGUUAUUAUAUAAUUUGUUAUAUAAUUAUGUUAUUAUACUAUUUUAAAUGGGGUUUUUGAAUUUUUUGUUUGAAAAAUAUAAAUUUAGUUGUAAUGUUAAUAAAAACUUUUAAAUAGGUAUAAUGACAAAAAAAUGUUCUUAGCAUUUAUAAGAUUUUAAAUAGGUAUAAUGACAAAAAAAUGUUCUUAGCAUUUAUAAGAUUUUAUUUUGAGUUAAAUUAUAAUUUUUUUAAUGCAAAAUGUUGAUUAAACAAUAGCCUUAUUUAAGUUUAUAACGUGAUAUGAAUAGUAAACUCUUUUCAAGGUUGGUCUCAAUUGGAUCAUCUUUCACAAUAGUCUUAUUUAAGUUUAUUAUGUUUUCUCAUUUGUUUCUAAUUUAUGAUGGGCUUCAACAGCUCUUGUAUAAGUUGAAAAUAAUGAACCUCAAAUGCAGCUGAGAUGGGAUUGCAUGUGGGAUUCUCGAGGGUGGAAUCGAAGGGGAGACUCCUUAUCUUUGAUUCGGAAGCUGCAAACAAAGGGAGUUGAAGGUCAGUGAUAGGAGCCUACAUCUCAAAUAUUAGAACUACCUGUGAAGGGUAUCAAAUCUGUGUAAACAUGGGCCAAAACAAGCAAACGGAGUUACACAUCUAUUGGCUACAGAGGGAUUAAAGAGAGAUGAAGAAACUUAUCUUGUUGGUGCGGUUCCUUCAUACGCGAAAGUAGCAGCGGAAGACGACCGUCAACAGUUGGGCUCACUUUGUCCAGCAGGUCGAAGAUCCACUGCUUAGAAAGAAGAUAAAAUGGGAUUUUACUGUGGGCAAGCAGAUUGAAGAAUAGAUGGACUACUGGGUUUCUUAGUUUCGGCGGAGAAUAAAUCGGAUAUAUUAUUAACUUUAAAUUUAAUUGUUAAAUUGGGCUCGAGCUUGAACACAUAUGAAUUUAAUCAAAUUCAAGUUGAAUGUUAAAUAUGAAAUUUAUUUUUAUUUAUCCAAAAAGCAGAAAUGUUUACAAAUAUCUAUAGUAUACAUUUGUAAUUCCCCAUGCUAUAAAAAGUUCUUAUUGCCUUGAUCUCUCAGAUUCACAUUAACCUCUACCAGCCUCAUUCCCACUAACUCCUUUACUAUUCCCAAGUAAUAUAAAGCGUAAUAAAAAGUAGAUAUCUCAAUUGAGUGGGCUGAAUCUAUAUAGAUGUUAAUUCAAUUUAGAUUUGAGUUAUUUUCUAUUUGAGUUAAAUUUUUAUGUAAUAGUUCAAAUUGAUUCGAAAUUAAGUCAUUUUAGAUAUGAAAUUUAAACUUUUUAGGUUUAAUUAUUAUGGGUUAUGAAAUUUUUAGAUGAUUAUGAAUUAUUUUGGGUUUGACGAAAAUAUUACAUAAAUGUCAUUCCUAGAAUUAGCUUCAUGGUGAAUUGAAGGUCACAAUCUGGAUUUGUUCAUAUUUUAAGGUUAUUGGUAUUCUCCUCACCUAAUAUACUAAACAACCUAUAGUGUAAAGAGUGUAUUUGAUGGUUACCAAAUUAACUAUAAAUAUGAUUAAGGCAAGAACACCUAUCGAGCAAUAGUAUAGUUAUGGUGAGUAGGAAAUAUCAUAUCCAUGAGGACUAAAAGUACUAGUAAUUACUGUUUUUCUAUUAUUUAGCUGACAAAUUGGAGUGAUUGUUUUUAAUCUAAAAUUACUGAACUAAUCCAACUAAGAACGCAACAGAGAAUGAAAUAAGAAAAAUAAUCGAAGAUUACCAAUGAGAUAGACAAUACCCAGGAAAGAAUCCACCUAGACUUCACCUAUUAUUCUAAAUCUGAAUUAAAUGAUUUAUUCACUUGUGUCUUGAUCCGUAGAAAUCCCUAAUUUAUGUUAAUAAAUAUUUUAAGAGUAAGAACAACUGACUCUAGGUUGAUUACUUGAAAUCUCUUUCUAAUUAAAAUCCCUAUUGUCGCAUUAACCCGGUCUAUGGAUUCCCCUAUUAGAUUUGACUCUAAUCCGAUAGAUUUAUGUCGUCCUAUUUCUAGGAUUGCAUGCAACUCCACUCAAUUAUGCUAGAUCUACUCUUAAACAGGGACUUUUGCUCCACUGAAAUAAGCACAUUAAACAUGAAUUAAUAUCCUAAAACUAUUAAAACAUGAAAUAAGCAUACAUAAUUGAGAACAAGAAUAAAAUAUUUAUCGCGUAAAAACAAAAAUUAAAUAAUAACAUUCAUCAUAGGUUUCAUCCUCCCUAGGUAUCUAGGGAGUUUAGUUCAUAAUCCUGAAUAAAAACAUCUCAGAGUUAGGAUAACAACAAGACAUAAAGAAACUCAAUAAAACUUCGAGGGAAAUUAAAUGGAGAUCUUCAAUCUUGAAGAAGAUCCACUUCUGAGUUGAUUCCCAUGGCGUUCUUCGAGUCUUUUCUUCAAUCUUCCCUGAGUGCCCCCUUAAAUCUUCUUCUAAUUGGUAUUUAUAGACUUUAGAAUGCUCAGAAUGCUUAAAAAUUGGGUUUUUCUGCGUAUUUAGAAAGCAGGGUGCGAUAUUGACACAGGCUAGCACAUGGGCAUGUGGCCAGCCCAUAUGGAAAUGCCUAGGCUAUGUGGAUCCUAGAAACAACUCUAUUUGUUUGAUUUUUCGCUCUCAAAUGCUCUCCUAAAUAUAGAAACAUGAAUUUAAAGAAUUAGGAGCAUAAAAUUCACUAAUUUACAUAAUUAAUCAUCCAAAAAAACAUUAAGAAUGAGAUUAAAAUAUGUUACUUUUAUAACUUAUCAGUAUUCGAAAUUAUAUUCUAAUUAAGAUACCCCUACCUAUCAACAUUCAGAAAGAUAAUCAAUGGAUUGGAGUUGCUUCUUGCUGCAUUUUUGACAAUAAUGCUUCAGGACAUUCUAUCGAUUGUGGAGGAUUUAUUUUUCAAGGUAGAAAUUAUCGAUAGCUUGGUUUGAGAUGCUUGUUCUUGGGUAAAGGAAUAAUGAAAGGUCACCUUUUGCUUCAUUAUUGGUCGCGUGAUAAACUAUAUCCAAUUUCCUUGGGAUAAAUAUAGUGACUGUGAAUUCAAUAAUUUAUUGUCAAUAGACUGCUUAGAUCAAAAUUGUGAUGAGCCUGAGAUGUGUUUCAUAGAUGCAUAUGAUUGAAAUUUGCAAGUGAAGAAGUGUGGUGUUAGAAUAGUGUAUUGGUGUGUUGUUAAAAACACUAAAAAUAAUCUAUCCCUAUAAUGAAAAGAAUAGUAUAAGGGAAGUAGGGUGAAAUCCUCAGGGACUGGAUUGCUACAACUUCUUGUUCCUCGAAAUCCUGGGCACAGUCGUGCCCGAGAAAAAGCGGUGUACAUAAUCCUUCUCAUGAUAGAAUAAACCAGUUAGUUAUAGUGGAAAAGGAUGCCUAUGACCACCAGCUCCACUUAGAUUUUAGACUUAUGAUUUAGAGGAACCUGACUCUAGCCAACCGUCACUUUCGUGGGACCAUCUUACACUAGAUCAUUGUUUCUCAAUGACGAAUGCCACCAUUUCGUCUCUUGGGCUCAACAACCUCUGACGCAGUAAGUUAACAAACCGGCUGUACAACUCUCCUAAAAUAUACAAAGCUGCUGCCUUUGCACAAGAUAAAAAGGUCACUUUUGGAAGGUCAUGGACGGAAGCGUUAAUCCCGUAAUACAGAGAAAUGAUGAAUACUCGUUGAGAAUGCUAAGUGCGAGUUCUAAGCCUCAUGAACCCUUUUUUGGAGAAUCUCAACAAUCUUUGGCCAGAUGAAUUUAAUGGCUCAUGCUUUUCGGGAAAAAGAAAUAAGUUUAAUGGAAUGGAAUUUAAUUGGGAAAUAAAACUAAAGGAACAAAAAGGCUAGAGAGCCUUAGAGGGAAAUGAGUGUUUUACAAGAAUUGAUGAUUGAAUAAUUAUGUCACUCCAUCCCCUAUUUAUAGUACAUAGAAAACCUAGUUUGUUCCUAUUUAAACUCUAAAAGAUAAAUAAAGAUAAAAGUUGAAAUUAGAUCUAAAUAAUAAUCCUAAUAAAAUUCAAAUUUAAAUAGAGUCUUAUGUUUAUAAAUCUCUUUUUUGAAUUUUUGCCCCCAAAUCUUUCACAGUUUGUAUUUUCGACACCACUUCUUUCCUAUUUUGCAUGCUAACCCAUUUUGUCUUUAAAUUCAGGCUUUUUGUCCCUAAAUUUCCUUUUGUCUUUAAUUUAGUCCCUACAAGAUGAAAAACCUUUCCUUUUAUCUUCAAUUUAGUCCCUACAAGACGAAAAAUCAUAAACAGCCCAAAUUAGUAGGAUCAUGCUUAAAAUAUAUAUGUAAUUAAUACAUUAAAAUAUGCCACUCAAUCUUCUCCAAUUUUUGAACCAACGAUUGACCAGUAGGUAGCAAUUCUCACAUAAAACGAAAACAUAACGUCUAUAAGGAAGCGGAAGAAGAAGGGCUCCAACCAAAAUGAAUGCAAAAAAAAAUUAAUUUUAUAAUGGGCCAACUUUGUCCUAUUAGUUUUUUUUACACAUCUAUGUAAACUUAUUUGCUUAUGAGAUAUAAUCACUUAUUUGCUUAUGAGAUAUAAUCAUUCUUAUAUAUAAAAAAAUUUUAAAUUUUUUUAUUUAUACUCAUAUUAAACAUGAGCUCAUAUUCUAUGCAUAUCCCAAAUGUUGAUAACAUAGUAUUUUUUUAGACCAUUUAAAAUUCUUCUUUAUUUUUAUGAUUUUUCUAUUUUUAAAAAAUUUAUGUAUUUUAAUAUUAUAUAAUUUUUUAAAUUAUGAUUGACUUUUUUUGGGUAAACUACAAAUAUAGUCACUUUUGUUUCACUCAGAUUAUAUUUUAGUCACUUAUGUUUGAAAUGUUAUGUUUUAGUCACUUGCGUAUCGUUUUGUUACGAAGUGGUCACUCUACCAUUAAGUUCCGUUACCUCCCUAACGGCAAUCCUACGUGGCAGUCCAAAUGGGUUUUAAAUCCUAACUUGGAUGUCUAAUUGGUACGACAAUAGAUUUUUAUUUAAAUAAAUUUAAUUAAUUGAAAAUUUUAAAUUAAUUACAUGUUGAACUGGAAAAGAAAAAUCAUUCAUCUCUUUUUUCUUUUUAGUUUUCUUUUUCAUUUUAACUGAAAAAAUUAUUCUCAUCCUAGUUGAAAAUCCAAGUUGUCAUUUAAAACUCAUUUGGACUGCCACGUAGGAUUGUCAUUAGGGAGAUAACGGAACUUAAUGGAAGAGUGACUACUUCGUAACAAAACGAUAACGUAAGUGACUAAAACGUAGCAUUUCAAACAUAAGUGACUAAAAUGUAAUUUGCGGCAAACAAAAGUGACUAUUUUUAUAGUUUACUUUUUUUGAAUUUUAGAGUUUAGGUUAAUUUUGUGAACUCUUUCUUGGAAUCUUCAUGGAGAGAACAUCUAUCAUCUCCCAAUUUCCACACCUACGCGCUUGAGGGAAAUGAGGUUGUUGUUUUGGGAGGUUGAAAGGUGAGGGGGAGCUGUUUGGGAUGGUGGUCGGUAAUGGAAGAUGAGAGUGAUGAAGCCCGGGUGUAUUGGUGAUGUUGGUGGUGAAGAUGGGAGCCUCGAGUGAUAGACAGAGAAUGGUGAAAAGGCCCCUGGGUUAGCUUAGAGAUGAAAUUUUCUGCUACUGUUGCCUCCAAACACAGAAUUGCUAACCUACCCCGCUUGAAUUUUGUAGAUUGAUUUUAUAACAGAAACCAGUGGAGCAUGUUGUGUGUGGUGGUUGCAGUGUAACCUGUCCCAAGCUACUAGAAACACAUUAGGAUCUGUUUGUAAAGUUAAUAAAAAUUUUGGGACUUUUAUUCAAAAUUUGAUCUAUUUCUCUCCUUCAUGCUCAUAUACUAUACUAUAUUGAAAAUAUAUUAAAGAGAUUUGACAAGGAUUGUACAUUAGGUGAUGCUUAUAUCAUUAAAAGGGACAAGAAACUAAUAGCAUUCCGUUAUCCACUGCUUAUAAAGAAAUACUAAUAUAAUAAAAUUUAUGCUAAAAUCAAUUUAAUGUUUUUUAAUCGGAUUUGUAGUCGAAUUGAAUAGGUUAUUAGUUUGUUGGUCCAAUGAUUAAAAAUUAUUAAAAUUUAAAAAAGUUAAAGUAGAGUUUGUUGGUCGAAUUGAAUCGGUUCGUAUCAAUUUUCAAUCUAAUCAAUUCAAAAUCACUCUAUGAACCAAUACUCUGUCGGCUCCUGAUCUAAUCGAUCGAUCAAUCCGAUUCAAAAAAGACUGAAUCAAUAGAUAAAAGAUGAGAAUAAUUCUUAAACACAACCUGCAAAUUAUGAGAUUAAUUAUAUCUCAAAUUGAUCCAACAUAAAACAGAUAAAAAGAAAAGGUUUCAACAACUCUUCCAAUACAUAUUAUGCUUUAAUGAUCCCACACCAUGUUAAUGAGUUGCGUACUGCACCUUCCUCGAUGGGCAAGCAUAUUUCCCACAUGGGAUUCUCACAAGGAAUCACAGCUUCUUUACUGCAACAACAUGGAAAAAAAAAACUUGAUGGAAAUAAUUUAAGAUCAAAAUUAAACACCAAUAUAUACACACAUAGAAAAUAAAGAGAAACUUAGAGCUAACAUAUAUAUACACACAGACAUACACAUACAUACAUUCGGUAUUUCCAGCGUUUUGUCCAGUUCUUCUUCUCUUCUACUUCUUGCAUGUAAAAGUAAUAUUCCCAUGCCGAUCACCGGUCCCUGUACAACAAAACUUUAAAAGCAAUGAACUAUAUACAUAUACGUUAGUUUUUUGAUUGGAAAUGAGACCCUUUCAUUUCUCUUUUCACACACUCGCAUUGAACAACAAUGGAGGGGAAAUAGAGUAAGAAUUAGUUCAUUGAUCCUUGUUUUAGCUUAUUUCAAGAUGGAUGAUUGAAAUUUGAUUAUGAUAAGAAUAUAAAAACAAACUUGAGGUUUUUUUUUUUAUGUUUUUUUAUUGCUUUCGAAGUAUUGUUCUCAACAGCCCAUAUAUAAGUUGAAAGUGAUCAACUUUAAAGGGUCCCAAAACCUGAUCAAUACCCCAGACUUUAAAAUUGUAGAUGUCCAUCCAUCAUUCGGAAUGCUUAAGAGGCUUAAACUUUUGAAUUUCAAAGACUGCAGAAGUCUUAGUAGUCUUCCAACCAGAAUUGAAGUGAAAUCCCUUGAAACAUUGGUUCUUUCGUGUUGCUCAAAUCUUCAAAGGUUUCCAGUUAUCGACGGGAAAAUGAAAUGUUUAAAAACUCUUAAUCUUUCUGGUUAUUAUAGAGUUUAAAAUUUACCAGAGAAUUUGCAGCAAGCGAAGUUUUUAGAAGAGCUCGAUUUAAGUGAAACAGCCAUAGCAGAGCCACCAUACUUCACUUUUCAAUCUAAAAAUCUUAAAUUCAGUGGGUUUGGCCCGAGAACAUCAAUCCAUUAACAUUGCUAAUUAUGAAAUACGUAAAAUACAAAUCGUCCAACAUUUUUAAUUAUUACUUAUAAUUAAAGUAGACUCCACUUUGCCAACUCUCACCUUCUUGGAAACAACAUCCAUCGCUCAUCUUUGACCCCUAUGCUCAUAUACUUACUUUUCUAUUUUCUGAUUUUGAACACCAGAUUGAUAUAUUCUUCUCCUUUCAUCCAUCCUCAUGUAUAUAGACAAUUAUAUGAUUAUGUAACUGAAAGCAAUACACAAACCGUCCAACACUUUACUCAUUACUUAGAAUUAUUGCAGGCUCCAUUUUGUCAACACCCACCUUCUUAGAUUCUUCCUGGAAAGAGCAUGCAUCACCCAAUGUCCACACCUACUCGUAUUCAUUUCGAAAAUUCAAAGGUUAUAGAGAAAUUGCUUAGAAACGUCCCUUAUUCUUCCCUGGAAUUUUCAUCUGUUUUUCUCAAUCUUCACUCUCAUAUACUUAUUGUUUCUAGUUUCUUUCUGGCGUAUUGAGCGAUCAAUUUUCUGAUUUUUAACACUACAUCCACAUAUAUAUUUUUCUUCUCAAACAUCGUCAUGUUGUCAUUACCUUCAACUUCCUCAUACAUUUCCAGAAAGAAAUAUGAUGUUUUCUUGAGUUUUAGAGGUGAAGAUACUCGCAAAAACUUCACCGAUCAUCUCUAUGCUGCUCUAAAGAGGAGUGGGAUCGUCACUUUCAGGGAUGAUCCAAAGCUGGAGGCCGGCGAAGAGAUCGCGCCAGAACUCUUUAAAGCAAUUCAGCAAUCAAGGUGCUCGGUAAUCGUUUUUUCACAAACUUAUGCCUUUUCAAGUUGGUGCUUGGAGGAGCUUGCUGAGAUUCUUCAACAACAUAACAACGACGGCCAUAAAGUGUUUCCAAUUUUUUACGAUGUUGAUCCAUCUGAUUUAAGAAAACAAAAAGGGAAAGUGGAAGAAGCCUUUGACAGACAUGAAGAGAGAUACAAAGAAGAAAGUGAGAAGAUCCAAAGGUGGCGAAAUGCUUUAAUUCAAGUGGCUGCAAUCAAGGGANNNNNNNNNNNNNNNNNNNNNNNNNNNNNNNNNNNNNNNNNNNNNNNNNNNNNNNNNNNNNNNNNNNNNNNNNNNNNNNNNNNNNNNNNNNNNNNNNNNNACUUUUUUUUUUUUUUCUAAUCCUAUGUGUUAAUUCAAAAGUGUCAUAUUUCAAUAAAAGAGCAAACUUUGUAUUCUGGCUACGCAACAGAUCUUGCUUUCUUAUUCUUGGUUCUUGUUUGCUUCCAAACUAUAUUAUGUUUGAUGAUUCAUUGAAAAAGAAAGUGCAUUCGAAACAUAUCAACAAAAUUUUACUCAAAACAUUAAAAUUUAUUUUUUUUAGGCAUGAAUCAGAAUUUAUUAGAGACAUUGUUAAGAAGAUAUCAGCAAAACUAUGUCAGACAUAUCCAGUUACUCAUAGCGACUUGGUUGGUAUUAGUGAACGCUUGGAGGAUUUUUAUUUGAAAAUAAACAUUGGGGAAGAUGAUGUCCGCUUUAUCGGAAUUUGCGGAAUGGGUGGCAUCGGUAAAACGACACUCGCAAGAGUUGCUUACACUCAAAUGUCACCUCAUUUUGAAGGUAAAAGCUUUAUUGCUGAUAUUCGAGAAGUUUCAGACAAAUGCGGACUAGUUUCUUUACAGAAACAACUUCUUUCACAGAUCUUUCAUGGUGAAUGCUUCAACUUUUUCGAUGUUCAUGAAGGGAGUGACAUAAUUAGCCAUAGGUUGUCUCACAAAAAGGUUCUUGUUGUUCUUGAUAAUGUUGAUAACAUACAACACUUAAAAUGCUUGGUUGGAAGGCACGAUUGGUUCGGAUUAGGAAGUAGAAUCGUUGUAACAACAAGAGAAGAACAUUUGCUUCGAUCUUGGCCAGUUGAUGAUAUGUAUGAGCCCACAACAUUGAAUCCCAAAGAUGCGCUUCAACUUUUCAGUCUGAAAGCUUUUCAUAGUGAUACAGUGCAGAAAGAUGAUUUCAUUGAGCUUUCUAAACAUGUUGUAAAUUAUGCUGGUGGGCUCCCUUUAGCUCUUGAAGUUUUGGGUUCCUUUCUGUGCGGUAGAGAUGCGACUCAAUGGAGAAGUGCGAUUGAAAGACUUAAAAGAGAUUCUAAUAAAGAAAUUCUGGAUAAACUUCGAAUCAGUUUUGAUGGAUUGGAAGAAAGGGAGAAGAAUAUAUUUUUAGAUAUAGCAUGCUUCUUCAAUGGGGAGAAGAAAGAUUUUGUAAUCAAAGUAUUGGAUGGUUGUGAGUUUUUUCCUGAUAUUGGAAUUGAUGUUCUUGUUAAAAAAUCUCUCGUAAAAGUCAAUAAACACAACAAAAAUUUGAAGAUGCAUGACUUGUUGCAAGAAAUGGGAAGAACAAUUGUUAAAGAAAAAUGUGUUGAUGAACCUGGAAAACGUUGUAGAUUGUGGGAGGAAAGGGACGUCCAUCAUGUCCUAACAAAAAACACUGUAAGUCAUUUAACAAAAGUUACAUACUAUUUCUUUUCUAUCCUACAUUAUUCACCAUUUAUUUUAUUUUCUUAUUGUCUGUUCUUGAUUUGUUAGGCUACAGAAAUGAUUGAAGGCAUAAUCAUCGAUAAUAAAAUGUAAGAAGACACACAUAAACUUAUAUCUAUGUGUACUGUAAAUAAUUAUUAUUUUUAAAUAUGAUAAAAAAACCUACAGCAAAACUUUUGACAUUCAAUAUUUCAAUGUUUAAUUAUGAAAUUUAUCUAGCAACAUAUUUACUUUUUCAAAAGAGAAAUGUAUGUAUCUUUUUUGAAAAUUAAUGGUAUAUAUUUAAUGUACUAAAAGUGUAUAUCAACGAAUUAGAUUAUAACACGUCAUCAAAAUUUUUUAAUGAAAAUGGUUUCAUUUUUUAAUUAUGUGUCAUUGUUUGAUUCAUUAACUUGUAAAUUAUGCAUUGUUUGUGGACCAAAUAUAAAUCAACAUAUUAAUUCAAUUUUUUAGGAUUAGGUAAUUUAACAUCGGAUGUGAUUGUUAGAUAUAAGUAUCACUUUAAUAUGAGUAUAUUUAAAAAAACUAAAAAUUAUUUUUUUCACGUAUUUAAAAGGUUCUUAAAGGAUCAUAUCUUAAUACUCAUAUACGAAUGUGCAUUAGAUAUAAGUAUUGGAUACGAGUACUUAAAAAACCAACAUCAAUGAAACAUUUCUUUUAAAUAUUGAAUGUUUUCGUAUAUUUUGAAGCUCAUUUUUGUUUUGCUCAUGGAUAUUAGGGAAUCGAACAAGAUGCUCAAUUUGAGUGUGGAUACCUUCUUGAAGAUGAAAAAAUUGAGAUUGCUCAAAGUGCUUUGCCUUUCGAAUUGUAAUGAUCUCAAAUAUCUUUCAAAUGAACUACGACUUUUGGAUUGGACAGGAUACCUUUUAAGAUACUUGCCUUCAAGCUUUCAACCGGACAACCUUGUCGCACUUCUUUUGCCAUAUAGUCACAUUCAACAACUAUGGAAGGGAAAUAGAGUAAGAAUUAACUCAUCUUAUCCUUGUGUUUUAACUUAUUUUAAUAUAAAUUAUUAAACUUUGAUUAAGGUAAAACAAAAAAACAAAAAUGAGCAUUAUUACGUUUUCUCAUUUGUUUCUAAUUUAUUAUGGUCUUCAACAGCCCUUGUUUAACUUGAAAAUAAUGAACCUCAGAGGGUCUCAAAACCUGAUCAAGACACCAGACUUCACAACAGCAUCAAAUCUUGAAGUUUUGAUUUUGGAAGGUUGUACCAAAUUAGUGGAUGUUCAUCCAUCAAUCGGGGUGCUUAAGAGCCUUAAACUUUUGAAUUUAAGAGAUUGCAAAAGUCUUAGGACUCUUCCAACAAAAAUUGGAAUGGAAUCUCUUGAAACAUUCAUUCUUUCGGGUUGCUCAAGUCUUGUAAGGUUUCCGGAGAUUGAUGGGAAAAUGGAACGUCUAAAAACUCUAGAUCUUUUCGGUUGUUAUAGAGUGGAAAACUUAUCGGAGAAUUUGCAGCAAGCAAAGUUUUUGGAAGAGCUCGACUUAAGUGAAACAGCCAUAACAGAACCACCAUCCUUCAUUUUUCAAUUUAAAAAUCUUAAAGUUCUGUCUUUCAAUGGGCGCAAGGGACCAUCAUAUAAGUUGCUACCAAAUUUGCCUUCUCUUUUCAAGGUAAUCCAAGGAAGAAGGACGAAUCCCAUGGCUCGGAUGUUGCCUUUGUUGUCAAGUUUGAGUUCUUUAAGAGAGCUAAAACUAAGGGACUGCAAUCUCCGUGAAGGAGAUAUUCCACGUGAUAUUUCUGGUCUAUCCUGUUUGGAAAAACUUGAUCUUAGUGGUAACAAUUUCAUCNNNNNNNNNNNNNNNNNNNNNNNNNNNNNNNNNNNNNNNNNNNNNNNNNNNNNNNNNNNNNNNNNNNNNNNNNNNNNNNNNNNNNNNNNNNNNNNNNNNNNNNNNNNNNNNNNNNNNNNNNNNNNNNNNNNNNNNAGUGGUAACAAUUUCAUCAGCAUACCUGCAUCUCUUACUGGACUCUCAAAGCUUCAUGUUCUUGACUUGUCAAAUUGCAACGUGUGCACUCUUGGUGAAGCAGAUAUUCAUAGUGAUCUUUCUGGUCUAUCCUCUUUAAUAAGUCUUGAUCUUAGUGGUAAUAAUUUCAUUACCAUUCCUUUGGCUCUUACUCAACUUUCCAGGCUCAGAUUGCUUACAAUGUCAGGUUGCAAGAUGCUUAAAUCGUUGCCUGAGCUACCAACAACUAUAGCAGUUGUGACUAUAGAUGGUUGUUCUUCACUUGAAGUAGUUGCAAGUCCAUCAAAAGUAUGCAAUUUAGCGGGUUGUGGUGACAUUCGUGCCAUUAACUGCUUCAAAUUGGCUGAGAAAAUCAAUGCAUUAACACUGCUGAAAGAACAUAUUAAGGUCGAUUAAUCUAAUUUUUCUACCUUAGAAAAUCUCAUACUUGAGAAUUUAUGGUUUUAGUUACCAAACGACUUGUGUUUUAUUUUGCAGGGGGUUCGAUAUCCAAGAGAUUGGUUUGAUAGUUGCAUCUUUGAUAUUAUGAUGCCCGGAAGUGAAAUCCCAGAAUGGUUUAGCCAACAAAAAAGUGACAAAUCAAUUAAGAUACCCGUUCCGAAAGAUAGUCAAUGGAUUGGAGUUGCUUGUUGCUGCAUUUUUGUCAAUAAUGAUGCUUCAAGGCAUAUCGAGGCUAUCGGAUGUAAUGCAUCUAUUUUUCGAGGUAGAAAUUGUCGACCAAUUGAUCGGAGAAACCGGUGGGUAGGUCGAUACCUUGACAAGCCCAUAAUGAAAGAUCACCUUUUUCUUCGUUAUUUUCCGCGUGAUGAAUUAUAUCUUUCCUUGGCGGAUAAAUAUGGUGACUGUGAAACCAAUAAUUUAUGGACAACAGAUUGCUUAGAUCAAAUAGGCGAUGAGCUUAAGUUGUCUUUCAAUGCCGAAUUUGGACCAAAUUGCCGUUGUGUUAAGGUGAAGAAGUGUGGUGUUAGAAUAGUGUAUGAGAAAGAUUUGGAAGAGAUAAAAGAGUUGCAGUGCCAUACCACUCAAUCUUCUCCAAAUUUUGAACACAUCCACCGACACUCUGCUCAAAACCAUGGAUCAGUAGGUAGCACUUCUCACAUGAAACGAAAACGUAAUAUCUAUGAGGAAACGGAGGAAGAAGAGCCGCAACCAAAACGGAUGCAAAAUAUUUUCAAUUUUGUAAAGGGGCAAUCAAGAAAGAAGCAUUAACUGUGGUAAACUACUUAACCAACUUCGUCCUAUUAAUUUUCUUUUACACAUCUUAUAUUUCAUUUAAACAAUUAUUCUAGACUUGUUUUGCAUAUGAGAUAUGAUCCUUCCAUUAUAUGCCAAAACAUUUUAAAAAAUUUUAUUCAUAUUCAUAUUCAUAUUCAACAUAUACAUAUCUCAAAUGUUGAUAACAUUAUUUUUUAUACCAUUUAAAGUUUUAGUCACUUAUCGAAUGUGUAUAUUUUGAUUGGUUUCACCUUUUUUUUAUUAAAAUUUUAUUUCCACUAUAUAUAUUCACUUACAUCUAUAUUUUAUUUAUAGGUUGAAGAUGAAGCAAAUUAAAACAAAAUUGUGAGACAAAAAUGGAGACGAAGCAAGUAAUGAUAAAUGAGAGUCCUUUAAUAAGGAUCGAUCAUAAUUUCAACUGAGUUAAAAAUCAUUUUAUUUUUAUUGGAGACCAACUUAUAUGUUCAAUUUAAUCAGUCAAAACUGUUUUUAUAUAUUUAAAAGAUUAAAUAUAAAUCCUUAAAGGUACUUAAAUAGAUUUAAUCCAUUCUAAUAAAGUAUCAUUUAUAUUUCACGACUUGAAAUACAAAUAAUAUUAUUCCAACUCCUCAGUUUAUAUUUUUUUAUAAAAUAUUUAUGUUUAGACAUUUAUUUUUAAUAUUUAUUCAAAUAUGAAUAUAAAGUAUGCACUAAUAUUCAAUUAGAAAAUCUUUUGUACGUGAGUGUUAAACAGUUGUUACGAUGGUUAGUUUGAUAGGUUGUUACAAAAUCUGUUAAGCAGUUCAUUAGACAGUUGGUUAUCAUAUUUGUAUAAAACCUCAUCAGUGUAUUCAUUCAACAAGAUAGCAUAAGACUAAAGAAUUCUUUUAUACUUCACUUUUCUGUUUAUACAUAUUUCGAGUAGUAUCUUAUAUGGUAUCAGUCACCUAGUCCUGGUACGUGCUUCCGUUGUUGUGUUAUGGCACCAUCAGCCGAUUGUAACUUUGCUGAUCCUAUGAGUCCGACGUUUUCUGGUCAACGCUUGGUCCAAUCUUUCCCCCGUCAUGACACGGUGAAACUAGAGGGAGAAAACUUUGUUCAAUGGCAGCAACAUAUCCGAUUGAUAAUAGAGGGAUAUGAGCUGCAAGGUUUCUUGGAAGGUACGCUGUCUGCUUUGUCUCGAUUUAUUGCGUCUCCAGAAGGUGCUCUUAUUCUGAAUCCAGAAGUGGCUACAUUCAAUCAACAGGAUAAGCUAUUAGCUUCUUGGCUCCUAAGUACGAUUAGUUCGUCACUUUUGUCAUGUUUUACCUCUACUCAAUCUGCGUGUGACAUCUAGAGCACCGCAAAUCGUCUUUUUGCUGCGUCAACUAGUGUGAAAAUUUCUCGCAUCAAGCAUGAUCUUCAUUCUACAAAGAAGGGUGAGUUAACUGUCACAGAAUAUAUUGCGAAGAUAGAAAAUACCUGUGCCUUACUUACAGCUCUGGAUCGGUGGUGUCAGAAGCUAAAAAGGUGGAAGUCAUUUUGGCUGGGCUCUCAUCGGAUUUUGAUAUCGUACUAACCUUGGCUUUGUUCUUGACGGAGCCUCUUCCCUUUCUGCGUUUGGUCGAGGUUCUCAUGGAAUUUGAAAGUAAACAGCUGCAAGUGGCGCGUGAGGUUCCCAUCCAUGCUCAUCCUGUUGAAACGCGUAAUGUUGCUGCGAUCGUUGAUUCUGUUUCACGUGAUGUGCGUGGAGGCCGUGUGACAGUAGGUUUGCAAGAGCGUGGCUUCUGUUCGCUCAUGCAGUGCCAAAUCUGUAAUAGGUUCGAUCACAUGGUGCAGCAAUGCUUCUAUCGCUUUAAUUGGUCUUACGAUAGUCUGAAUGCUUCUACCACGGUGAGGUUUUCACCGUCUACGCAUAAUAGACAACAAGGUUUUGGAUCUGGUGACCUUUUGAGAGACUGGUCGUCUUUUCAAAGUCGGAGUGAAUAUCCACCACAACUGCAAGCUACGAAUUUUGGUGAAACUGGCUAUUGGUUGAGUUUGCAGAAGACACAAAUGGACAGUGGUUUGGAUCUGUUGGCCCGUUUGAUUUCUUUGAAAGGCGUGUUGGGCAUGCUGUGGGCCAGUGUUCUGUACAACACAUUGGGCUGCCUUCCUCGGUUGCACACAGGCCCCAUUAUGCAGGCCAGAUUCGUGGGUAGUGUCUUGGACCAAAUGCUGGUCAGGUUUUUAGGUCGGUUCAUGGGUAGAAGACUAGUCAGGUUUUUGGGCAGAAUACUGGGCAUUAUUUUGGGUCAACUAAUAGUAAGUGUUUUAGUCCUAUUAGCGGGAGCAUGAUGUGCAACAAUUUGGGCUGCAUGCAGGCCAGUCUGUUGGGCCUCUUAGUAGGUAGAUUAAUGGGCUGAAUAGUGGACAGGUUGAUGCUAUUCAAAAACUUGGGCCUAAUGCUAAUUUUGUUGGUGUUGAAAGCUCUAUGCAAAAUAAUGCUCCUGUUCCGUAGCGAACAAAACCACGAGUACGUGUUUUUUAUUUUAAUUUCUCUCAGUGUGUUGGGCUACCCCGAAUUCUUGAUUUUCUUGCUUCUGAUUUUUCGGAUGCCACACAGUAUGAUUCCAACUUUGAUAAUAUAUACUAACUCGUGUGUUCCUGUGCCAAUAGGAACCUCAUCAUAGUAUCCAGAUUCAAGGGCAACUCAUCAUGUAUGUCAGAAUGCAUCUGAUUUAAAUGCAUCUAAUUAGGAGCAUUUGAUUCAUUUUGAUAAUGACAUCCUAAUCAUUUAGGCAUAAACAAGAGUUCAUGGGUUAUGCGUCCCUAGAGAACAGGUCAGUGAAACUACAAAUCUCAUCUCCCUGAAGUUGCAGUGGAGCAGACUAAAGAUAAUGAAUCUUAUUUCCCUGAAGUUGCGGUGGAACAGAUUGAAGCUAUAAGUUACAGAUCCUAUCUCUCUGAAGUUACUGUAGAGUAGAUCAUAUCAAACCUUAUCUCCCUGCAGUUGCAGUGGAACAAAUUAAAGACCGGCUACAAAUCUUAUCUCCCUGAAGUUGCAGUAGAGCAGAUUUAAGCCACAAACCUUCCCCUUUGAAAUUGCCGUGGGGCAGGUUGAAAAUACAAGCCUUACUUCCCUGAAGUUGCAGUGGAGCAGACUGAAGCUAUUAAUCCUAUCUCCCGGAAGUUGCAGUGGAGCGGAUUAAAACGAUGAAUCCUAUACCUUUAAAGUUGUAGAGGGUUUGAUUAAAUUUGAUCAUAUCAAACCUUAUCUCCCUGAGGUCGCAGUGGAGUAGUGGAGUAGACUAAAACCAAAACCUCGUCCUCUUAAAGUUGUUGCGAAGAAGAUUGAAGCUACAAGAAGUGCAGUGGAGUGGAUUGAAGCGAUAGGACACAGUGGAUUGGAAUAAGGCUACUUGAAGAAGAGAAGAGUCAAAAGAAGUCGGGACUUGGUGAGACCAGGCAAAAUUGGUCUUCCUUAGUCUUUGCUCUAUUCUCGUUACACGACAACGAGCAAAGAGGGGUAGCUUUACAGCCCAUUUUGCAUUGCCCAGUACCCAAAUAAACCAAAUUACCCACAUCUACCCAAAACCCAAUUACAACCUGGGGCCCAAACCAAAAGACUCAGCCCAAUACCCCUAACCUAACCAAAUCCAACACAGCCCAAAUGGCCCAAUGCAAAAAAAAAGGUGGGAGUCUGAAAACCCUAGCCCUAGGUGCGUCGCACCUAGGGUCUUCUAACCCUUGACCUACCAACCGCCACCACCGCAUGUCUGUCACCGCCGUUGUCAUGUCGACCGGCGCCUAUCAAUCACCUACAGGAGAAAAAUAAACACACAAGCAGUAAAAUAAUAGAAAAAAUGGAAACAAAUCGGCUAUAAAAGUCGAGCACCACUUCUAUAUAUAUAUUCAUUUUUUUUACGACUGGUUAAUGAAAAAGCAGAGCAAAAGCUUUUAAAAAAGGUUCACUCCAGUUUAACUGCUUCUAUUUUUUUUCUGUUAUUGUAUUUUUUCUUUAUUUUUUAUUUUUUUAUGUUUGUUUAUUUUUACGACCCUUUUUAACAAAAACGAAACAAAAUGAGAAAAGGUAAGAUACCUGUUUGCUUCGAAAACCGGCGCCGGAGCCCAUCUUCGACGUCACCGGAGUCGAACAGGGGAGGUUUUUUUCUUUUUCUCUCGGUCCCACGGUUGAUAAGGCCUAGCCUUCAGGGACGCCGUGAAGUGAGGGCUGAAAAGCCCGUUUCGCGCGACUCCAGGCACUGGCCAUGGAGACAGCGCGGCAGUGGCCAGAACUUAAGGGCCGGACAUGUGAGAGAGAGAGAGAAGGAAGUUUUGAAUUUUUUUUUUAAAAAACUUUGUAAAAAUGAUUUUUUUAGAAAAAAAUUUAAGUUAAAUAAUGAUACUUAUACAACGUCGUUUUGACAUUAGGGGGCAGGUGCCAAAACGACGUCGUUUUGACAUUAGGGGGCAGGUGCCAAAACGACGUCGUUUUGGCCCUGACACGUGACCUGACCUGUUGGCCUUCAGGAUUCGCGUGUUUCUGCUGUGAAGGGGCUAUUUGCGCAUGUGGUCCUUCUACUUUUGUGAGGCUUUGCAAUUUAGUCCUAAAAUUUUUUUCUUUACAUUUUGCGGUAUAAUUUCAUUUUUGUUUCUUUUCGGUCCAAACGGAAACGGUGCACUCUAAAGGACUGGGAAUAAUCUCCCAUAUAGUCCUCGCCCUUUUCCAGCGCAUUUCAGUUGGCCCUUUCGUUUUUUAUUUGUAAUUUAUACCUUUAAAGUCGAUUCAAAUUUCGAUCCAGUCCCUUUUAUAUUUAUUUAUCCAUUUUUUUAUAAUUUACACUCCAAAGUUUAUUUUAACCUCAAUUUGAUUCUUUAUCCUUUUAAUUUCAAGCUUUAUUUAUUUAUUUAUUCUUUUCGUUCUGUUUUAUUUAUUUAUUUAUGCAUUCAUGUAUUUAUCAAUUUCCUUACUUUUCUUGUGUUUAGAAUUUAUAUUGUUAUUUAUUCCUUUAUUGAUACAUUUCAUUAUUAUUAUCAUUAUUAUUAGUGUUUAAUUCAUUUUUAUAUUUCUAGUAUUAGAAUAGUAAUUAAUAUGGUCAUUGUUAUUAUUAUUUGGUGAUUAUUAUUAUAAUUACGUCAUGAUUAUUAUUGUAUUUUAUAAUUUAUUAUUUACCCUUUAAAUAUUCUACUAAUAUAGUUAUUUUAUGUUAUUUCAUUAUUAUUGUACUAUACAUUGUAUGAAAUAAUUGUUUGCCUUCACACAAUAUUUGCAUAAAUUAAACUUACAUAUUGUUAUAUUACAUUAAUUCUUACUUAAAUUCAAAAAAGGAAAAUUUUUAAAAUAAGACAACAUUCUGUAUUUAGAAACUCAAGAAAGUCGUACCCUAACUUAUGGGGUUUCGACUUUCUCGAAAAAUUCCAACACACGAAUCAUUUCAAACAAAGUUUUUAAAUGUUCUCGGGAAUUAAUAAAAGAUCGUGUUCUAAAUCACGGGACAUGAUCUCUUUUUUAAACCCGAGAUAAUCGAACUCUUUCAAAAUAAAUAAAUUUUUCGGCUUUCAUUCUCGUAUCGGGAAUUUUAGACAUUGUGUCCUAACUUACUGGACGUAAUUCUUCUUCUCGAUUAACUUGGAAAUAUGCUUCUCCUUUUAAAUUUUUCAAAAUUUUGAUAAAAGGAUCGUAUUAUUUUUCUUUUUUUUUUUAACUCUUCAAAAUUUUCAAUUUUCGACGCUAAGACACUAAUUAAUCAGCUAGAUACCAAUUUUGGGCGUUACGAAGGUGUUAAUCCCUCGUCGUACGUAACCGAUUCCUGAACCCAUUUUCUUUUUUUUAUCGUGGACCAAAAUCAUUGUUUUUUCAAAUCGUUUAUUAAAAUAACUAUUUUUCGAGGUGGCCCGAUCACACCUCAUCAAAAAAGAUUAGUGGUGACUCCCACAUUCGUUUUCAUUUUUUAAAACCCGAGUUGACCCCAUUUUAUCAAAAAAAAAUGGUGUCAACAAUGAUAAGAAUAUAAAAACAAAAUUGAGGUUUGGUUUUAUGUUUUUUUAUUGCUUUUUAAGUAUGGUUUUCAACAGCCAAUAUAUUAGUUGAAAGUGAUCAACUUUAAAGGGUCCCAAAACCUGAUCAAUACCCUAGACUUUAAAAUUGUAGAUGUCCAUCCAUCAUUUGGAGUGCUUAAGAGGCUUAAACUUUUGAAUUUCAAAGACUGCAAAAGUUUUAGGAGUCUUCCAACCAGAAUUGAAGUGAAAUCCCUUGAAACAUUGAUUCUUUCGUGUUGCUCAAACCUUCAAAGAUUUCCAGAUAUCGAUGGGAAAAUGAAAUGUUUACAAACUCUUAAUCUUUCUGGUUAUUAUAGAGUUGAAAAUUUACCAGAAAAUCUGCAGCAAGCGAAGUUUUUAGAAGAGCUCGAUUUAAGUGAAACAGCCAUAACAGAGCCACCAUACUUCACUUUUCAAUCUAAAAAUCUUAAAUUUAGUGGGUUUGGCCUGCCCUACAGGCAUUGAUUGCCUUAGAGCCACUGACUGCUACAGAUUGGCUGAGAAUAUCAAUCCAUUAACAUUGCUAAUUAUUAAAUACGUAAAAUACAAACCGUCCAACAUUUUUAAUUAUUACUUGUAAUUAAAGUAGACUCCACUUUGCCAACUAUCACCUUCUUGGAAACAACAUCCAUCGCUCAUCUUUGACCCCUAAUUUCCACCCCUAUGCUCAUAUACUUACUUUUUCUAGUUUCUUUGUGGAUAUUGGGCGAUCUAUUUUCUGAUUUGGAACACCAGAUUGAGAAAUCCUUCUCCUUUCAUACAUCCUCAUGUUAUCGUUCCAUUCAACUUCUUCCUCCAUUUCUGAAAAGAAAUAUGAUGUUUUCUUGAGUUUUAGAGGUGAAGAUACUCGCAACAACUUCACGGAUCAUCUUUAUGAUGCUCUAACUAAUAGAAAAGUCAACAAUAUUCAUUAUAUGUCUAACUAAUAACAUUAUAAAAAUAUAUGAUUAAAUUAGGUUAGAAAUUAAAUCUUAAAUUUAGGCAUAAUAAAAAAACUAAAAUUGAAAUUCUAACAUUUUCUUAUAAUGUAAAAGAAAAAAAAUCCUAUACAUUAAAUUAAUAAAUUGUAUUCAUACAUAAAAUGUUAUGAUAGUGAGUAAAUAUAAGUUAUUUUAGUCUGCACCUAAUGAACAUUUUAAAUGCUUCAAAUAGAACUUAAUCAUAUAAAAGGCAAAAUGUGAGGGACCGAAUUUAAAAUAACGCAUUGUACGUCCUCCCUGGACAGGUGUCUCCAAAUACUCCUUUAAUAUAUAGUUAUAUGGACAAUUAUAUGAUUAUGUAAAUGAAAGUAAAAGACAAACCGUCCAACACUUUACUUAUUACUUAGAAUUAUUGUAGGCUCCAUUUUGUCAACACCCACCUUCUUGGAUUCUUCCUGGAAAGAACAUGCAUCACCCAAUGUCCAUACCUACUCGUAUUCAUUUCGAAAAUUCAAAGGUUAUAGAGAAAUUGCUUAGAAACGUCCUUUAUUCUUCCCUGGAAUUUUCACCUGUUUUUUUCAAUCUUCACUCUCAUAUACUUAUUGUUUCUAGUUUCUUUCUGGCGUGUUGAGCGAUCAAUUUUCUGAUUUUGAACACUAAAUCCACAUAUAUUUUUCUUCUCAAACACUGUCAUGUUGUCAUUACCUUCAACUUCCUCAUACAUUUCUAGAAAGAAAUAUGAUGUUUUCUUGAGUUUUAGAGGUGAAGAUACUCGCAAAAACUUCACCGAUCAUCUCUAUGCUGCUCUAAAGAGGAGUGGGAUCGUCACUUUCAGGGAUGAUCCAAAGCUGGAGGCCGGCGAAGAGAUCGCGCCAGAACUCUUCAAAGCAAUUCAGCAAUCAUGGUGCUCGGUAAUCGUUUUUUCACAAACUUAUGCCUUUUCAAGUUGGUGCUUGGAGGAGCUUGCUGAGAUUGUUCAACAAACAACGACGGCCAUAAAGUGUUUCCAAUUUUUUACGAUGUUGAUCCAUCUGAUUUAAGAAAACAAAAAGGGAAAGUGGAAGAAGCCUUUGCCAGACAUGAAGAGAGAUACAAAGCAGAAAGUGAGAAGAUCCAAAGGUGGCGAAAUGCUUUAAUUCGAGUGGCUGCAGUCAAGGGAUGGCAUUUAAAUAACAGGUAAUUCUUUCUUUUCUUCUCUAUUUUCUAGUUUUUUGGAUAUGUAUACUUUUUUCUUUUUUUCUAAUCCUAUGUGUUUAAUUGAAAAGUGUUUCAAUAAGAGAGAAAAUUUUGUCUUCUGGCUCCGCAACAGAUCUUGCUUUCUUAUUCUUGGUUCUUGUUUUCUUCCAAACUAUUUUAUGUUUCAUGAUUCAUUGAAAAAGAAAGUGCAUUCGAAACAUAUCACUGAAAACAUUAAAAUUUCUUCUUUUUAGGCAUGAAUCUGAAUUUAUUGGAGACAUUGUUAAGAAGAUAUCAGCAAAACUAUGUCGGACAUAUCCAGUUACUCAUAGCGACUUGGUUGGUAUUAGUGAACGCUUGGAGGAUUUGUAUUUGAAAAUAAACAUUGGGGAAGAUGAUGUCCGCGUUAUAGGAAUUUGCGGAAUGGGUGGCAUCGGUAAAACGACACUCGCAAGAGUUGCUUACACUCAAAUGUCACCUCAUUUUGAAGGUAAAAGUUUUAUUGCUGAUAUUCGAGAAGUUUCAGACAAAUGCGGACUAGUUUCUUUACAGAAACAACUUCUUUCACAGAUCUUUCAUGGUGAAUGCUUCAACUUUUUCGAUGUUCAUGAAGGGAGUGACAUAAUUAGCCAUAGGUUGUCUCACAAAAAGGUUCUUGUUGUUCUUGAUAAUGUUGAUAACAUACAACACUUAAAAUGCUUGGUUGGAAGGCACGAUUGGUUCGGAUUAGGAAGUAGAAUCGUUGUAACAACAAGAGAAGAACAUUUGCUUCGAUCUUGGCCAGUUGAUGAUAUGUAUGAGCCCACAACAUUAAAUCCCAAAGAUGCGCUUCAACUUUUCAGUCUGAAAGCUUUUCAUAGUGAUACAGUGCAGAAAGAUGAUUUUAUUGAGCUUUCUAAACAUGUUGUAAAUUAUGCUGGUGGACUCCCUUUAGCUCUUGAAGUUUUUGGUUCCUUUUUGUGCGGUAGAGAUGCGACUCAAUGGAGAAGUGCGAUUGAAAGACUUAAAAGAGAUUCUAAUAAAGAAAUUCUCGAUAAACUUCGAAUCAGUUUCGAUGGACUGGAAGAAAGGGAGAAGAAUAUAUUUUUAGAUAUAGCAUGCUUCUUCAAUGGGGAGGAGAAAAAUUUUGUGAUUAAAGUAUUAGAUGGUUGUGAGUUUUUUCCUGAUAUCGGAAUUGAUGUUCUCGUUAAAAAAUCUCUCCUAAAAGUCGAUGAACACAACAAAUAUUUGAAGAUGCAUGACUUGUUGCAAAAAAUGGGAAGAACAAUUGUUAAAGAAAAAUGUGUUGAUGAACCUGAAAAACGUUGCAGAUUGUGGGAGGAAAGGGACGUCCAUCAUGUCCUAACAAAAAACACUGUAAGUCAUUCAACAAAAGUUACAUACUAUUUCUUUUUUAUCCUACAUUAUUCACUAUUUAUUUUAUUUUCUUAUUGUCUAUUCUUGAUUUUUUUAGGCUACAAAAAUGAUUGAAGGCAUAAUCAUCGAUAAUAAAAGGUAAGAAGACACACAUAAACUUAUAUGUGUAUAUUAAAAAAAAAUUAAAAAUUAUUUUUUUCAUGUAUUUAAAAGGUUCUUAAAGGAUCAUAUCUUCAUACCCAUAUACGAAUGUGCAUUAGAUAUAAGUAUUGGAUACGAGUACUUAAAAAACAAUAUCAAUGCAACAUUUCUUUUAGAUAUUGAAUGUUUUUAUAUAUUUUGAAGCUCAUUUUUGUUUUGCUCAUGGAUAUUAGGGAAUCGAUCAAGAUGCUCAAUUUGAGUGUGGAUACCUUCUUGAAGAUGAAAAAACUGAGAUUGCUCAAAGUGCUUUGCCUUUCAAAUUGUAAUGAUCUCAAAUAUCUUUCUAAUGAACUACGACUUUUAGAUUGGACAGGAUACCCUUUAAGAUACUUGCCUUCAAGCUUUCAACCGGACAACCUUGUCGCACUUCUUUUACCAUAUAGUCACAUUCAACAACUAUGGAAGGGAAAUAGAGUAAGAAUUAACUCAUCUUAUCCUUGUGUUUUAGCUUAUUUUAAUAAAAAUUAUUAAACUUUGAUUAAGGUAAAACAGAAAAAAAAAAAAAUUGAGCAUUAUUAUGUUUUCUCAUUUGUUUCUAAUUUAUUAUGGUCUUCAACAGCCCUUGUUUAACUUGAAAAUAAUGAACCUCAGAGGGUCUCAAAACCUGAUCAAGACACCAAACUUCACAACCGCAUCAAAUCUUGAAGUUUUGAUUUUGGAAGGUUGUACCAAAUUAGUGGACGUUCAUCCAUCAAUCCAGGUGCUUAAGAGCCUUAAACUUUUGAAUUUAAGAGAUUGCAAAAGUCUUGGGACUCUUCCAACCAAAAUUGGAAUGGAAUCUCUUGAAACAUUAAUUCUUUCGGGUUGCUCAAGUCUUGUAAGGUAUCCGGAGAUUGAUGGGAAAAUGGAACGUCUAAAAACUCUAGAUCUUUCCGGUUGUUAUAGAGUGGAAAAUUUGCCGGAGAAUUUACAGCAAGCAAAGUUUUUGGAAGAGCUCGACUUGAGUGAAACAGCCAUAACAGAACCACCAUCCUUCAUUUUUCAAUUUAAAAAUCUUAAAGUUCUGUCUUUCAAUGGGCGCAAGGGACCAUCAUAUAAGUUACUACCAAAUUUGCCUUCUCUUUUCAAGGUGGAAGAAUGACGAAUCCCAUGGCUCGGAUGUUGCCCUUGUUGUCAGGUUUGAGUUCUUUAAGACAGCUAAAACUAAGGGACUGCAAUCUUUGUGGAGGAGAUCUUCCACGUGAUAUUUCUGGUCUAUCCUGUUUGAAAGAACUUGAUCUUAGUGNNNNNNNNNNNNNNNNNNNNNNNNNNNNNNNNNNNNNNNNNNNNNNNNNNNNNNNNNNNNNNNNNNNNNNNNNNNNNNNNNNNNNNNNNNNNNNNNNNNNCUACUCUCGAAGCUUGCAAAUCUUAAAUUGUCAAAUUGCAACAUGUGCACUGUUGGUGAAGCAGAUAGUCAUAGUGAUAUUUCUUGUUUAUCAUCUUUGAGAAGUCUUAAUCUUAGUGGUAACAAUUUCAUCACCAUUCCUUUGGCUCUUACUCAACAUUCCGGGCUGCAACGGCUUGUAUUGUCAGACUGCAAGAUGCUUAAAUUGUUGCCUGCGCUAUCAACAAAUAAACGAGUGCGGAUAGAUGGUUGUUCUUCACUUGAAGUAGUUGCAAGUCCAUCAAAAGUAUGCAAUUUAGUGGGUUGUGACAUUACUGCCAUUAACUGCUUCAAAUUGGCUGAGAAAAUCAAUGCAUUAACACUGCUGAAAGAACAUAUUAAGGUCUAUUAAUCUAUUUUUUCUCCCUUACAAAAUCUCAUACUUCAGAAUUUAUGGUUUUAGUUACCAGACGACUUGUGUUUUAUUUUGCAGGCGGUUCGAUAUCCAAGAGAUUGUUUUCAUGGUGGCAUCGUUGAUAUUAUGAUGCCCGGAAGUGAAAUUCCAGAAUGGUUUAGCCAACAAAAAAGUGAUUUUUCAAUUAAGAUACCCCUACCUAUCAACCUUUGGAAAGAUAGUCAAUGGAUUGGAGUUGCUUGUUGCUGCAUUUUUGUCAAUAAUGAUGCUUCAAGGAACGAGUGUAUCCACUGUGAUGGAUCUAUUUUUCGAGGUAAAAAUUGUCGACCAAUCUGUCAGAGAAACCGGUGGGUAGGUCAACGCUUUGACAAGCCCAUAAUGAAAGAUCAC
Molecule: long non-coding RNA, 50641 nt
Filed under: Gossypium raimondii (Peruvian cotton)
Lineage: Eukaryota; Viridiplantae; Streptophyta; Magnoliopsida; Malvales; Malvaceae
Description: long non-coding RNA (GRAI_LNC005960)
Source: RNAcentral